This 78106-nucleotide long non-coding RNA is filed under the name Coffea arabica (coffee). RNAcentral describes it as "long non-coding RNA (CARA_LNC007224)". Lineage: Eukaryota; Viridiplantae; Streptophyta; Magnoliopsida; Gentianales; Rubiaceae. The record is from RNAcentral.
UUUUUUUUUUUUUUUUUUUUCCGGCAACGAUAGAUGUUGUAUAACCUACUCUAGCCUAGUCUAAGGGAAGGGGCAGGGGGAUGGUCAACUAAGACCAGCCACAUAUUGUGGCCAAAUUGUGGGAGGCAGGGGAUGAUCCCCUAACCUCCAGCAUCAUCAUUAUAGUGAUGACCACUGAACCAAAUGACCAGUGGCACCCAACACCUCUUACUCGUCAUUACCAAUUUUAGAUCAUGCAUUUAGAAAUGCUUGGCAAAAUGAGAAAGCAGCCAAGGAGGUCAGCAAAUACGUGGUAUCAAACAAAAACUUUCUGCAAUGUCUUUUGCUCCUCAUGAUCACCAAGUGCACCCCCUUCGUUCAGUUCUAACGCAUAAAGUGAAACAAAAUAUACAUAGUGAGACGCUUAAAUUGAAGCAAAAAAAUACAGUAUUAGAGCAAGAAUGCAGGGUUUUUUUUUUUGGCAAAGGAAUUUACAAAAAGAGGCAGCAUUACUAACACUUGCCAAGCACAUCUGCUCCAUCAAAGGGUGAAAGGUUGAUGAAUUAAUAUGAUGUAUCCAGUGGUUAAGCCUUUAUGGUGAACAUUUAGAGAAGUGAAUGACAGUGGACGGUAAAAAUACAGCACUUAAACUGAGUACCUUAAUAAACUUGCUGUCCUAUCUGAACAAACGUCCUGCCACAGGGUACUACUCCACAAUGUUAGGAAAUACCAGCAGGAAGUGUUUCAGAUGGACAAAUUCAGAGAAGAGUAAUCUUACACACAGAUGAAAUGUAGCUACGUAAUUCAGGCAAGAGUUAAUGACACUAACAAUACGGUGUUUGUCUUGCUCAAAUUUCUUAAUUUGCAUGCCAUUUCAAAUCGACAGCCACCAACAGAGCAAAUUCUCAAUUACUUGAAGCAGUGUAAUGAACGAUCGAAAAAUGGAAAAUCAAAAGAAUAGUAUAUACACGAUCUGUUGACAGUACAAACUGGUAUCUCUGAAUUGCACAACAUAUUCUUAAGGUGCGGUUGGUACAGAACUAAAUCCAGAAUGCACACUAUAUUUUCCUAAAGAAAAAGGAAAAACAAAAAAUAGGGAACUCGUGGAAUCAAAAUAUCAAAAUCAGCUAUAUGGUAAUACAAAAUCUGUGAACCUAACUAAGUAUACCAAGCCUAUCGUGAUUUUCCAAACCCAAUAGCAGUCUUCCUUCUUCUUCGAGCAUCUAUUCUUUCAGGGCUUUGCAAUCCAGUUCUCCCCUCAUAUUUCUUUUCCAAGGCCUGUGCAAGUAGAAUUUAUAAUAUAAAAUCUAUUUCUGCCAUCCCAGGCUAGUUGAAGCUAAAAGGUUAAACAAGAAAAGAUAUCCACAUUCAACAAAUAUUCUGCAAAUAUUGGAAUAUGUAAUAAAUCUAUUGACUAUUCACCUGUAAAUCUGCACUGAUACUUUCAAGAACUUCGUCUGUCAUUCUAUCAAAGAAAAGUAUUCCCUGCAAAGCAGAAUGUAAUUUAGGAUAUAAACUAGAAAGAAGCAGAAAAUGAAGCUUAGUGUCCUUGCCUCCAUGGUCAAGGUAACCACCAUCUUUGAGUCAAACAAUACUCCUAAACUAGAUUAACCACUCAGUAUAUUUUGUUUGCAAUUGAAAACAGGCAUGCAAUGUGAAGACCAGAAUGGUAUUGCUGAUUGGCCCGUCAACAUGGGCAGUCAGUUGUAGUUUUUAAGCCAUAAACAAUGAGAAUUUGGUACAUUUCCAGGUCGCAAUUUCGUGGUCCAAGUUGUCCAAACAACAGUAAUGAGUAAGUUAACCAAAUUACAGGUUCAAAGCUCAUGACGGCAAUAAACUAAUGAACUACUGGGAUGCGAAAAGCUCAGCUUUUGUCACGAUUAUGAUGGAUAUCCAUCUCAUCUCAUCACAACUUCACAGAGUAUCAAUGGUGAACAUUUGGACAUAAUAUUUCAGGCUCUUUCUGAACCAAUUACAGGGACAUAUGCAAAAACAAGACUACCUGAAGAUGAUCAUAUUCAUGCUGAAACACCCUUGCAGGAAGUCCCGUCAAGUUAAAUGCAAAUCUUUUGCCACUAAUGUCCUGUGCAUCGAUUGUCACAGAGUCCGGUCUCUACACAAACAAAAAACAAUAAGAGCAAUUAAAAUCUCGUAGGAAAACACAAUUGCAUUAUUACCUUCAACAAACUUAAAUGAACACAUACCUCAACAUCAGCAUAAAUCCCCGGAAAGGACAAACAGCCCUCAUUAUAAGGAACAAUUUUCCUCGAAUAUCUACUAACUUUCGGAUUCACAAGAACAAUCUCCUCUCCUUCCCCACGUUCACCAACCGGAUUAAACACCAUAAGGUGAACAUUAAUUCCCACCUGGGGUGCUGAAAGCCCAAUCCCAUCAGUCCUAUUAACGAAAAAGGAAAACCAAUAACUAUUUUUACCGGUUCCUAAAAUCUCAACAAUUCAGAAAAGAACUCAAGAAACCCACUAAAACAGCAACAAAUUCAGAGAAUUUUCUGCUAAAAAAGUCAAAUUCUUUACCUAUACAUUAUGUCGAACAUCUCAUCUACUAACUUCUUCAAGUUAUGGUCAAACGUACUGAUCCUUUUAUUUUUUGCUCUCAAUAUCGGGUCUGGAUAUUCCACAAUUUUAAGGGGUGCCUCAAACUGCAAAUCCGCCACUGCUAACAACAGAAAUAAGCAUACAAUUUCGUGGGUAUAAGCUAGAAAUGCAUAAAAUUUAAGGGGAAAACUAGAAACAUGGAAAACAUGGCUCGAGUUGGGGAUGUUUACCAGAGGCAAAUUCGUCCUCUUUUACUUUGGAAGAAGAAGAGAAGCUUCGUCUGGCCUGAGCACGAACACCUGCUGCCAUUCCGGGAGGUUUAUGAGGGGAUGUCGAAGAAUAGUUGAAGGGAUUUGUCGGAGUGAAGCGGUGGAGACGGCGGAAAAUGGAGGGAGCAAUGGUGGCGGUGCCGGGAAGCUUCGACAGUAGAGCUUUAGAAAAUGGGGAAGAGUAGAGCCAGGUCGCUCCAGCCAUUGCAAAAACUAGCACGCCGGCCCAGAGUUGAUACUUAAAGGGAUAAUUUCAGAAACCUCCCCUGAGGUUUCUGACAUUUACACUGAUCUCCCCUGUAGUUUGAACAAUUACACUGAUCUCCCCUGAGGUUACUAAUCCUUUACAAAUUCAGUCCAAAUGAUUAAAAUAUUAUUUUAGAGAGUGAAAUUAGAAUUUUGUACCUGAUUUGUCCUUUGUGCUACAUGUCCAAUGAAUGGCAAAGUAUUACAAAUUAAUUAAUAAUUAAUAAACUUUAACGAGCGUAAUUUAUAGGCAAAUACGUAUUGCCUAUUUAAAGUACCAGAUCUUUACAUGUAUUUUACUUUCAAACAUUUACUUUAUCACAAAUAUUUAUUCUCAAAUACUAAUUUUUGUUAAACACAAAACCUACCAGUUUUUCUUCCGUAGAAAUAUUAAUAUAACACUUUUUCAAUUUUAGUUAUAAAUAUUUAUGUAUUUAACAUAAAUUAAAUGAUUCAGGAUAAAAUAUCCAUAAAGAGCCAAUACUUUACUCAUGUAAUGGAUGAAAGUCAUAAAAAAUUAAUAGUUUAUAAGGCCAUUUAUUUUUUAAAAAAUAUUUAAUUUAUAUUAAAUAGAUAACCUACUGAUAUUUUUUGCAAGAAUAUUACUUUAACACUUUUUAAUUUUUAAUUACAAAUGUUAAUAUAUUUAUCAUAAAUUAAAUAUUUGAAAACAAAAUAUCUGUAAAGAGCCAAUACUUUAAAUAGGAUAUGCGUAUUUGCCUAUAAAUUACACUAUUUAAAGUAAGGAGUAUAGUUUAUUGAUUUAAGUUAAGGAGUGUAGUUUAUUGAUUUAAGUAAGGAGUGUAGUUUAUAGGCAAACACACAUAACUUAUUUAAAAUACCAGCUCUUUACAGGUAUUUUAUUUUUAAAUAUUUAAUUUAUAAUAAAUAUAUCAAUAUUUGUAAUUAAAAAUUAAAAGGUGUUACAAUAAUAUUCUUGUAAAAAGAAAAUCGAUAGGUUAUCUAUUUAAUAUAAAUUAAAAUUAAAAAAAAGAAAUGGCCUAUAAAAUGUUAAUUUUUUAUGGCUUUCAUCUAUUACAUGAGUAAAGUAUUAGCUCUUUAUGAGUAUUUUAUUCUGAAUCAUUUAAUUUAUGUUAAAUACAUAAAUAUUUGUAAUUGAAAUUGAAAAAAUGUUAUAUUAAUAUUUCUACGGAAGAAAAACUGGUAAGUUUUGUAUUUAACAAAAAUUAAAUAUUUAAGAGUAAAUACAAAUCUGUAUUUGAGAAUAAAUAUUUGUGAUAAAGUAAAUGUUUGAAAAUAAAAUUCAUGUAAAGAGCUGGUACUUUAAAUAGGUAAUACGUAUUUGCCUAUAAACUACGCUCGUUAAAAUUUAUUAAUUGUUAAUUAAUUUAUAAUACUUUGUCAUUCAUUGGACAUGUGGCACAAAGGACAAAUCAGGUACAAAAUUCUAAUUUCACUCUCUAAAAUAAUAUUUUAAUCAUUUGGACUGAAUUUGUAAAGGAUUAGUAACCUCAGGGGAGGUUUCUGAAAUUAUCCCAUACUUAAAUCAUGGGACGAGAUUUUAUGUGUCCGCAUCGGGCAGCGAUUUUAUGUGGCUCCAUCUUGGUUGUUGAAUGUUGAUAUUAAAAUUUAAUUUUUUUCUUAUUCAUUUUUCUUUUUGAAAAUAAUUUGCUUUAAAAAUGAAGUUUAGGAUGUAUGAGUAUGUUUGGAAAGAUGUUGAUAUUAAAAUUUAAUUUUUUAUUCCUUUUUCUUUUGAAAAUAAUUUGCUUCAAAAAUGAAGUUUAGAAUGUAUGAGUGUCUUUGGAUAGAAGAUUAUUUGAUUAUUUUCUUUAAUUAUGCUCUUUGCUCGAGGUUUUUUUUUUUUUCACAGACUCCAAAAUUCAAAGAAUUUUAAAAAUAAAAUAAAAUCUCUCCAAAUUUAAUGCCUCAAGCAAAUUUUGUAUCUCACAUUGUGCAUAUAAUUAACUUUAAAGCUUUAUAUUGCGUGCCAGAAUUUUUAAUAAUUUAUAAAAUGAUAGAAAUACUAUUGUAGUUCAACCGGUCAACCCGAUGAACCGCCCAUGAAACCGGACUGGGUUUGUAAUUGAAUCGUUUAUGCAAGAAAUCCGUUGACUUUUCAACGAAUCUACGGAUUACUAUUUAAGUUUUGUUAAUUCUGAUAAGAAUUAAUAAUUCUAUAAUAAAUUGGACUAACUGAAUAUUUACUAUAACAUAGUUUAUUAUAGUUUCAACCAUAUCAAAAACUAUGAGACAUAAUAUUUAAGUAUAAUUAGUGACCCACCGGUUAGACUACUCACCCACUGGUUGAACCAGUAAUCCGUUGACCCACCUCUUUCACCAGAUUCCUUCCCGGACCAGGUUUAAUAACUAUAGUUUAACUACAAUUUAAUUUUAAUCACACAUGCAAAUUUGUUUGUAAUCAUUGGAGUUAUAUGUGCAGCUUACUCGUUUCAUACAACGUAUUCUUAAAUUUUAGUGAAGCUAAAACUUGAGACAUAUUCUUAAAUUGGUUUGUAGAGAAAGGAACCAAGAAAAAGGUGGAAAAUGGAACAAGUAUUAGACUAUGGGAAGACGAGUGGAUCCCAAGAAAUCAGGAAGGAAAGCCUACUACUUGUAGGCCUCUGAACUGCAGCCUACAAAAAGUGGAAGAUUUGAUUGUGAAUCAUAGGUGGAAUAGACCCCUGAUAUUCAGAACCUUCAACAAGGAUGCAGCAAACAUCUUGAAGAUACCUUUAAGCCUUGCUUUUUCCCCCCCUGAAAUGAUAUAAGAUUUUAUUAAUGACAAAAAGUAAAAUACACUUUGUGACCAGGGACUUGUAUUGAGCUAUACAAAAGUGUACUAAAACAAUGAGAAUCUAAGAAUUCCUUAUCAAGAACUAUGUUUUGAGCUAGUUUGCUCAACCUUUUACUUAAUCUAUUCUAUUCAAAAUAUGGUCAAAUGAGCAUUUUCUAAACAUUGAGUUAAAGUCUUUGAUGUCGUCCAGAUAUGUAGAAAUUCUAAUGUCACAUGAGGAUGGUUUUCCAAUUAGACUUAGGACUUGGAUGCAUGAUUUAUGGACUUUGACAAACUCCCACCCUUGUCCCUUCGUCUUACUCAAAGCCAGUUUAAUGGCCUACAAGUAGUCCAGGAUCAUCGAGCCAGUACUUCUUUCCCUCAAUUUUUCAAUUCCAUGCUGCUUGCAACUAGUUCAGGUUGUUUAUAGCAGAGAUCCCUAUCCCCAUGUUUUGACCUUCUUUGUGUUGUCCUACUUCCAUACCUAUUUCUAGUUAAUUUUCUUCUUGUACAGGCCUUUGUUCCUGUCUUAAAGUUGCUUCUGUUUCUGAAAUGCUCACUUGUGCUGGUCUGUGUUGAAUUUGACUGUAUUCCUCCCAAUCAUUUACUAUUUUUUGAAUUACUUCCAUUGGGUGCUUCUCUUUGUCUUUGAACUCCCUGUCAUUUCUAACCUUCCAUAUCUGCCACAGUAUGUCAACUGUCAAAGCUAUAUGUUCAAUGCCAUCCUUUCUGUUUCUAGCUUUCAUAAGCUUUGUCCACCAAUUCUUGAAUUUUCCUAUGUGCUCAGAUAAACCAUCCCAUUGGAGGGGGGGGGCAUCUUCCAUAUAUUUCCUGCCAUUCUGCAUUGAAAGAAAAGAUGUUCCAAUGUCUCAGCAUCCUUACCACAGUUUUUGCGAAUCAGUUCUUCUUUUCCAGUCCUUCUAAAGAUAGUUUCUCUAACUGGUAAGGCAUGAUUUAGACAUUUCCAGAUGAACAAUUAUUGUUUCUAUUUGAUUUUCAUUUUCCAUAGCUGUCUCCAAGCUCUUUCUUUCUCUCCUGCAAAGCUUGUCUCACCCUUAUUGUUGGCUCUUUUUUCCUCGUCUCUUUUCUCUGGUCAUUGCUUCAUAUGUUGAUCUAAUAGUAAAUUGCCCUUUAUUACUGUGGCUCCAAAAGUAGCUAUUUGGUUUUCUUGCUAGGCUUAUAGGUAUUUUAAGGAUUUUUCCAGCUUCAUUUGGGCCAAAAGUCCUAAGGAUUAGUGUUCUGUUCCAUUUGAAAUUUGAGAUCAGUUCAUCCACAUUGUUAAGCUUGCAACCUUGAGGCUUAGGAGAAUUUAACUUCCCCCCUUCCAAUCCUGUAUCCAUGCAUCUUUCCAGAUUCUUGUACUUUUUCCAUUUCCAAUUUUUUUUCUAAGCCCAUUAUUUACCUCUUCUCUGACUCCCAUUAAACUUUGCCAUUUCCAAGAUGAAUUACUCUUUGCUUUGCAACUCAGAGGUGAUUCUUUUGGCUAAUACUUUGCUUUUAUAACUUUAUUGACUAGAAGGUUUGGACAGGUUAGUAGUCUCCAUACCUAUUUUCCUAGCAAUGCUUUAUAAAAUCUUUGCAGCUCCUUGAACCCUAGCCCACCAUCAUCCUUCAUAGUUGUUUUUUUUUUUUUUCAGAAGCACCAGUGAAUUUUUCUUUUCCAUUCUCUUCUCCCCACCAUAAUUUUGACAUCAUUGCAUUUAUCUCUCUACAUAGUUUCAAUGGAAGUUUGAAACAUGACAUUGCAUACAUAGGUAUUGCUAUAGUGUGAUUUCUUUCACGAGAAUCUUUUUCCCUUCUUGGCUUAGCAUUUUGUUCCUCCAACUGUUAACAGUUUUCUGGUAGUUCUCUUUGAUGAAGCCAAAAACAUGUUCCUUAGUUCUUGUGAUAACUAUAGGCAAUCCCAAGUACUUCCGUUGUUUUAGCACUUGAAUGUUCCCCAAUCUUUUAUAGAUUUCUCUUUGCUUUUCCUGAUCCAUAUUCUUGCUGAAUAUCACUGAUAACCUGUCCAUGUUGAUCAUUUGACUUGAUCUUUAGGAUUCUGAUUACUUUUUCUGCUUGAUUGGUUUCUACCUUGCAAAAAAUCAAAGAGUCAUCAACAAAGAAAAGAUGGGUUAUUGAUGGACCAUUUCUGCUAAUUUUGAUUCCAGUCAGUUGUUUGUUCCUUCUGCCUGAGCCAAUAGGUUCGAGAAGCCUUCAGAGACUAGGAGAAACAAGUAAGGUGAUAAUGGGUCUCCUUGCCUAAUCCCUCUAGUGGGUAUGACAUAUCUUUUUGAUUCCCCAUUUAUGCUGAAAGAACAAGAAGCUGUUGAGAUGCAAGCCAUGAUCCAAUUAAUCGAUUUGUCACAAAAGCCCAUCUUUGUCAUGAUUGCUUUCAAAUACCUCCGUUCCACCUGUCAAAAGCUUUAGACAUAUCUAAUUUCAAAACCAUGAAACAUUGAGUUCCUUGCCUUUUGUUUUUGAUAUAGUGCAUGUACUCAUGAGACAGUAUAGCAUUAUCUAAAAUUUGUCUAACAGGCACAAAGGCUGCUUGAUUUUUACUAAUGCAAUUAUCUAAAACAUUUUUCAACCUAUUUGCAAGGAUUUUAGAAAUCCUGUAAAGAACAUUGCAUAGGCUUAUAGGUCUAAACUGUUUGACCUCUAUAGGGCUUUCAACCUUAGGGAUUAAAGAAAUUAUGGUAUGGUUUACAGCUCUCAACAUGAAGCUAGAGUGAAAGAAACUUCUGAUGGCUUUGAUAAUGUUAGGUUUAAUAAUGUGCCAAAAUUUCUAAAAAAACAUUGGUGCCAUUCCAUUAGGGCUAGGUGAUUUGUUUGGUUUCAUGCAAAAUAAAGCUUCUUGGAUUUCUUUAUCAUCUAUUGGCUUGGUAAGGUUAGUGUUCAUUUGGUUUGAGAUGGUGUGUGAUAUCCCUUCAAUAAUCACUACAAAAUGGUCCACUCUCUUACUAGUUGAAAAUUUUUUUGAAGUAGUUGUCCACCUCCUCCCCUAAUUAAUCUUCUAUGUUGGCUCAAGAUUUGUCCUCUCUUUGGAUUUUCUAUAGUUUGUUUCUUCUUCUUUUGCCCUUUCAUUGGAGUGGAAAAAAUGGGUGUUCUUAUCCCCUUCCUUCAGCCACUGAAUUCUUGAUUUUUAACUCCAGAAAAGUUCUUCCUUACUGUAAGCUUCUUAUAAUUGGAUCUUCAUCUCUUUCAUCCUUUCUUUUUUAUCCAAGCUAUCAGACAUUCUAAGUUCCUCCAACAGCUUUUUGGUUCUUUCUAUUCUUUGCCUUACAUUUUCUUGGAAGUUAUUUUUCCACUUUAGAAUAGCCACUGUGUAGUUUGCAAUCUUCCUAGUCAUUUUGUACAUGUGUAAGCCAUCCUGAUCCUCUUCCCAAACCCUUCUAAUUACCUGUUCAAUACCUUCCUUUUUGAACCAUCUUCUGUCAAACAAAAAUCUUGUUUUCCUCUUUUCAGCUUGGGGAUUGGAGUCUAGAAAAAUCAUACUAUGAUCAGAGCUAAAAUUCUUUAUGCGCCUAACUUUUGUUCUAUCAAACAUUUGGCUCCAAGCUCCAUUUCGAAAGGCCCUGUCUAGUUUUUGUUUAAUCUCCCUUUCUAUGACCAAUGAUUGCUCCAUGUCUAAGGAUUACCUUCAAACCCUAAAUCAAUCAGCUCAUUCUUAUUAAUGAAGUCAUUAAACUCUCUAAAACUUCCUUCUUCCCUUCUUCCAUCCCAUUUUUCCCUAUUCGAGGUGAUAUCAUUAAAGUCCCAUGCUAUAAUCUAUCUAGUAUCCUACAAUUCCUUCCUUCUUUCUAUAACUUUCCACUAGUUUCUCUUGGUUUGGUCAUUAGCGUUGACACAAAAACCAAUAAACCACCAAUCCAUGUUUUUGUCUGGAUCCAAGAUGUGUGCUUCUAUGGUAAAAGUAGUUGUUAGCACCUCCGUUACUUCAAGAUCAGCAUUCCACAUCACAAUCAUUUCCCCAACUUUAUUCAUAGAUUUUACUAUGACACUUUCCUCAUAUCUCAGCUAUCUCAUAACUUUUUCCAUAAAAGGUUGUCUAUUUUUUGUCUCACAAAGGAAAAUCAAGUUUGGGAAGAAAAGGUUGCAAGCCUGGCUCAGCUGGGGAAUUGUCAAGAGGCUUCCUACAUCUUGACAAUUCCACACCAGUUAUCUCAUUUGUCCUUUGGAGACCAGAAUGGGUUAGUCUCUACCCCUUCUCCUAUUUCUGCACAUUUUUCUUGAACUGUCUCCACUCUCACCCUUCUAUCUAUCAUCUCACCACCUCCACAUCCACCAUAACUUCAUCCACUAAUUGAAACUUCCUUUUUCCUGAAUUUUCCAUAGUGCUCAAUAUUCUGAAUUUCUUUUAGUGGCUAUCUGAGGAUGUUUGGUGAUUUUAGUUGCUUUUUGGUCCUUGUGGUUUUUUGGUUACUCUUUUCCACCGAGACACCUGCAUAUCCUCACCUUCCAUUUCCUUGUCACUUUGUCCUAAAGUCCUUUCUGUACCUUGGUCCUUGAGUAUCCCCAAACUUUUCCUCUCCGUAGCUUUUGUUUUCUGUUCCUCAUUUCCUUUUUGAUUAGUUCUGCUCUUGUUGGCCUCAUUCUCAAUUGUCUUUCCUUUAUCUAUCAUGGCUUUCUCUCCCUAUUUGCUUGAGGAACUUUAUCCUGGAAAUUUGAUUUCUGUCUCAUUUUUGCUUGUUUGUCUUGACUUCAUCAAUUCCCUUCCACAUGAUUUUGGAAUCAGUUCCUUAUCUUUGAAUCCCCAUUUUUGUUUGUUUAGAGAUUUAUGAGCAACAAUCUGUUUUCCCAUUUCUUUUUGGAGUGACCCUUUACCUCUUCCUACUCUAAGCCACGGACCAAAUUGAUUUUUCAGUUGACCUUUUUCUACUAGUACUGUUUCCUUAUAGUUUCGUUCAUUAUGUCCUAUUCUACCACACUUUUAGCAAAAAUUUGGACAUUUUUCAUGUUUAAAGCUUAUCCAUCUCAUCUUUCCUUCCAACUUAACAGUGGUACCUCUCAUUAGUGGUUGGGAGAUGUUUUCCAAAACCAGUAAUUUAAUAUGCCUACAUUCCUUUCCCCCUUCUUGAGGUAUUAUGGCCUCUUUGGUUUCAUGAAAACUGAGGCUAUUUUUUUGCACAUUUCCUUAGUUAUCCAAUGUACAGGAAGGUUCCAUACCUAAAUCCACAAUGGGCCAAUGUUGAAAUAUGCUUCCUUCUCCUCAAAACCUUCAAACCAUUGUCUUAACACCAAGAUCUGAUUGUCAAAAAUCCAUAGGCCUCCAUUUAAGAUUCUGUCUCUAUCUUUCUCAUUGGGGAUGAAAAAUUGGAAAAGAUUUGUACCUAAUUCCACCACCCUUAGUUCUUUUGGAUACCUCCAGGCAGUGGCGGAGCUAGGAAUUAACUUUGGGGAGGGGCGAGUGUUGACCUUGGUCGAUCAAUCCUUGGUUUUGAUGAUUAACAAACCAAAAUGUAGAUUUGGGCUAAUGUUUUUAUGUGAGUAAUUUGUUAGAACAGAUUCUUGUGGCAUAAAAGAAGAAGCAAAAAUAGGGCACUCAUGUCGGACGCUAUCGGACGUCCGAAAGGAUGAAAAACAUCAAGAAGGAAACUCUGUCGGACGCUCGUGAGGAAGCAUCGGACGUCCGGAAGGAUCGGACGCACGCCUCGAACGCACAUCGAUCGCAUCGGACGUCCGAGAAAUUUCGCAAAGAUUGGAUGACUCUCUGCCUACGUUCGGACGCAGGGUUCGGACGUCCGACAGGUGGUUCGGACGUCCGACAGGCACCUGUCGGACGUCCGACAGGCCAACGGCUAGUUUUGACAGCAAUUAAUAUUUGACCGUUGGAGAGUCUUAUGGAGCCAUUUCUCACCUUCUAUAAAAACCCCAAAGCACAAGAAGACUAGAGACUUUUGCCAACACAAAAUACAAGCUUACAAGUGAGAUUUUUGAGUAGAAAGAUUCUUUGUUGGUUGUAUAAGGGGUUGGAAAAGUUGGGUUGUGAGGUUGCUCAAGUGAAAACCUUGGUGAAGGUGAACCUAUCACUUGGAGUGGUAAAACCUUAGUGAAGGUUGCCUCAUUUGUAUAAAAUAGUUCUUAAUUGGGUGAGUGAUCUUUCAAGUGUAGGUUGUUGAGGGUUAACUAGAAUUGUUGUAAAACUCCUUGGCUCAAUCAAAGAGUGUUUGGGGUGAGAAAGGAGUGAACCUUCACUUGUACAUCUUGGUUAGCAUCGCCAUCAAUUGAAGAGGCUAUUGGAUUGAUAUUUGGUUUGCAUUUCUUAUCUUUUCUCUUUAAUUAAGUUUUCUUUAUUGUGCUUAAAUUUGAUAUAUCUUUGUGCAUCAUUGUGAAAUUGUUUGUAUUCAUUGGGUUGCACCAGGACUAACAAUUGGUAUCAGAGCUUGGUCUCUUUUGAUCAAGCUUAACCGCUUAGAGUAAAGAUCAUGGCAACCAUAAAAGUUUCUUUUUUAGAAGGGCAAUCUAUUGAUAGACCACCUAUGUUUAAUGGUUCUCAUUUUAGCAUGUGGAAACAAAGAAUGAUGAUUUUCUUACAAUCCGUUUAUAUUGAAUUAUGGUAUGUGGUAGAAGAUGGUCCUUAUGAAACUAGAAUAGUUGACUCCACCACCAAUUUGAGUAGAUUAAAGACUAGACAAGAAUUGAAUGAAAAAGACAAGAGAUACCUUUCUUUGAAUGCCAAGGCCAUGUGUAUAUUGUACAAUGCAUUAGAUGUAAAUGAAUCUAGUAGGAUUAAAGGUUGUAAAUCUGCUAAAGAUAUUUGGGAUAAAUUGUGUGUAUUUCAUGAAGGUAACCAAGAGUUUAAAGAACAAAAGAAAUCUUUGCUUGUUUCUCAAUAUGAAUUUUUCAAAAUGCAUCCUCUUGAAAAUGUUGAUAAGAUGUGUAGUAGAUUUUGUGACAUUAUUGAAGAUCUUAAAUUGCUUGGAAAAGAAUAUUCUUUGGGUGAGAAAAAUAGAAAGAUUUUGAAUGCCUUGCCAAAAGAAUGGGAAAACAAAAUAAAUGCUAUAGAAGAGGCAAAGAAUUUAAAUUCUAUGUCCAUUGAAUCUCUUGUGAAUUCCCUAACCUCUUAUGAAUUAAAACUGAAACUCAAAGUGCAAGAGGAAGAAAAUGCAAGAAUGUAUAUGAGAGGCAUAGCUUUUAAAGCAUCUCAAGUGGGGGAUAACCCAUCCUUCAUGGGUAAUGAAAUCGUGGAAGUGGACAAUGAUAUAACUCCUCACAUCAAAAGUUUCAAGAAGAUCUUCAACAAGAGAUGUUCAAGAGGAGAUUGCAAAGUUACAUGGGAUGAAUGCAAUUCAAAAAGAGAAAAAGAAGAGUUGGCCCAAAUAGCACUAAUGGCCGUUGGAGAAGAUGAGGUAAGUUCUUAUCACUCUUCUUGUGAUGAAGAUAAUGAAGAUGAUGAUGUGAAAAUUCUUAUGAUUAAAAUGCAUAAAAGUUUGAGAAAAUCUUAUGCUAAAAAUAAAGAUUUGAAAACAAAAAUAAAUGAUUUGUUGGAAGAAAACUCCAAACUUUUUCAAGAAAACAAAUGUUUGAGAAUGCAAAAUGAUGAUUUAAAAAAUCAAAAAGGUGUUUUUGAUUGCAAAAAUAAUUUGAAAAGGAAGUUAGAAGAGAAAACAAAGUUUUAUGAAAAAAUGUUGGAGGAACAAAAUGUGUUAAAGAAAAGAAUUAAUGACUUGAAUGAGUUUCUCCAAAAUGAAAAACAAAAGUUUUUUCAAACAAAAGAAAGCAAAUCUUUUCAAGGCACAAAUAAGUUUGUUAUGAUAAGAAGUAAGAAAAUUAGUUGCAUUAAAUCCACCUAUGUGCAAAAUACUUCUAUCAUGUGUCACUUUUGUUGCAAAUUUGGACAUAUGCAAAAUGAUUGCUAUGUAAAGAAAAAUAUGAGAAAAGGCAUGAAAUCCAUGUGGAUUGCUAGAUCAUGUCGUAUUAACUCCCAAGGACCCUAUAAAGAAAUGGUACCAAAUGAAAUUUCUCAUAUUUAGGCACAUCAUGAUGAUUUGAUCCAAGAAGUGCUAUAUGGUUGUAAGUACAAUUGAAAAUUUUGAUAUUCAAUAUGGUCUUGAUUUGAAAAAUAAAGGGGGAGUUUGUUUUUGAUUGAUGCCAAAAGGGGGAGUAGGAUUUAUUGAAAUUUCUUUGUAUGUUGAACUUAUUUGAUAAAAGAAAUCUUCAUUUUGUUUGUCAUCAUCAAAAAGGGGGAGAUUGUUGACCUUGGUCGAUCAAUCCUUGGUUUUGAUGAUUAACAAACCAAAAUGUAGAUUUGGGCUAAUGUUUUUAUGUGAGUAAUUUGUUAGAACAGAUUCUUGUGGCAUAAAAGAAGAAGCAAAAACAGGGCACUCAUGUCGGACGCUAUCGGACGUCCGAAAGGAUGAAGAACAUCAAGAAGGAAACUCUGUCGGACGCUCGUGAGGAAGCAUCGGACGUCCGGAAGGAUCGGACGCACGCCUCGGACGUCGCGAGAAAUUUCGCAAAGAUUUGAUGACUCUCUGCCUACGUUCGGACGCAGGGUUCGGACGUCCGACAGGUGGUUCGGACGUCCGACAGGCACCUGUCGGACGUCCGACAGGCCAACGGCUAGUUUUGACAGCAAUUAAUAUUUGACCGUUGGAGAGUCUUUUGGAGCCAUUUCUCACCUUCUAUAAAAACCCCAAAGCACAAGAAGACAAGGGACUUUUGCCAACACAAAAUACAAGCUUACAAGUGAGAUUUUUGAGUAGAAAGAUUCUUUGUUGGUUGUAUAAGGGGUUGGGAAAGUUGGGUUGUGAGGUUGCUCAAGUGAAAACCUUGGUGAAGGUGAACCUAUCACUUGGAGUGGUAAAACCUUGGUGAAGGUUGCCUCAUUUGUAUAAAAUAGUUCUUAAUUGGGUGAGUGAUCUUUCAAGUGUAGGUUGUUGAGGGUUAACUAGAAUAGUUGUAAAACUCCUUGGCUCAACCAAAGAGUGUUUGGGGUGAGGAAGGAGUGAACCUUCACUUGUACAUCUUGGUUAGCAUCGCCAUCAAUUGAAGAGGCUAUUGGAUUGAUAUUUGGUUUGCAUUUCUUAUCUUUUCUCUUUAAUUAAGUUUUCUUUAUUGUGCUUAAAUUUGAUAUAUUUUUGUGCAUCAUUGUGAAAUUGUUUGUACUCAUUGGGUUGCACCAGGACUAACAGCGAGUCUAUAGAAAUGAAAGUAAAAUAUAAUUACAAAAAAAAUAAUGUGAACAUAUAUACCACAAGAUUAGAAACAACCUUAUAUAAAAUGAAAAUUACUUAUACGCUUCACAUAUACAAAAAUAUCAUCAUAUUUACAAAUCUAUUUGACUGUGUGAGACAUAUAAAAUUGUGCACGAUGACUUUUAAUUUUAUCAAAGUCAUCAAUGAUUGAAUUUGUAUCAAAAGUUCUAGCAAUUUCUUUCUCAAUAUACAUUAUCAUAGAGUUGGCAAGAAAGUCUUCCUCCAUCCUAGAACGCAAACAAGUCUUGAUGAUUUUCAUAGCAGAAAAUGCACGCUCUGUUGUAGCUGUUGAAAUAGGAAGAGUCAAAAUAAGACGAAUCAAUCUAUCAAUAAGAGUAUAGCACAUUGACUUUCUUGUCUUUGCUAACACUUGGCACAACUCCUGAAGUGAUGACAAAUUUUGAAGCUGAGAAUUACAGGAAAACUCAAUCUGGAAAAGCUCUAAUUGAGUUCUUAAGUGUAACUUCUCUUGAUCUGUGAAGUCAGCUGAAUAAAUCUUUAGAGACCAAUGCAAGGUUGUUGGGAAAGAGACCAAUGCAAGUUAAUGGGAAUUUGAUCAAUGCAAAAGACUGGUUUCCCUAAUUCCCUUACAAAUUUCGGCAAUUCAGCCUGACUGAAAAGCCCGGCCAUCACCCAAGAAAGCCAACAGGAUCCUCAAAAUAAAAUUAGUAUGAAAAUUGGAAAAGGAAACCAGUCUCAGAAUCAACUAAAAUAAAUGCUUAUCACCCGAAUUCAGAAGGUCAAGUAUGAAAAACAAUACAAGUCCCCCUCGAGCAAUUCAUCAAACAACUGACGGGCGAACUUUUUACACCCACAUUUCACUAAAUAAAUGCAAUGUCAAACUAACCUGGUAAAUGGUAAUAGCUGCAAUAGUCUGAAAUGGUAUUGAUGAUUAGUGUUAGUUUAUCUGGCAUUGCAACUUACAGGUCAAUUUAAGCAACCAAUGUCUAAUUCAUUAACCUGCUCUGAUGAUACAAUAAUAUGAAACAACCCCCUUUACUUCCUGAAAAAAAAAAGACACGUUCAGCAAAUGCUAAAAGAAAAAUUACCUAGACAAUGCAAAAUGCAAUGGUACAAUCCUUAGCCAUGUGCGGGGGAAGGUCUUCACAGGAGAAAGUUCUUCAAGCCUUUAAUGGUCUCUACUCGAUGAGAUUAUGAGAAGCCAUGACUUUGUGAGCUCACAAGGAUCAAUUCCAGUAAUUAAUGAUGUAUCGUUUGAGCAGAUUUGAUACAUCUUUGCAGAACAAGGUGAGAAGAUUUUGACGUUUCUACUUUCUACGAAGAACUGUAGCAGAGUCAAUUGCCAGGUUAACUGGCUAUCUUUUCUUUGCACUUGUAUGAAGUCCGUUAAGAAAAGUGGCAAUUCUCUGUUAUUUGGACCAAGUCCAAAUAACUUUCAAAUAUUAUUGUUUGGGCUCUUGGGGGGCAAAGUGGAUUUUUUUGAUCAAUUUUUUUGGGGGGGGGGAGAGGGGAAACAUAAUAAUAAAAAUUUUUUUACUUAGAAAUUUUUUUUUAACAAUUGGAGGGGGCCGGUUGACCCCCUGGCCCCCCCUUCCCUCCGCCCCUGUCUCCAAGCUAAGGUGACGAAAUUUUUUACCCCAACAAAGUUGAUAAUCUUCUCUCUUUUUAUUCUUUCUACCAACCUUUCCCCACAAUCUUAACACUAGGUCCAACAUCUCCUAGAUCAAUUUCUGUUUCGUUCAUAUCCUUACUAGAUAGAGCAAAUUUUUGCAAGAUUUUUGUAAUUUCAUCGGCCAUAGAGGAAUUUUUGCAAGAUUUUUGUAAUUUCAUUGGCCAUUGCUCAUCUUUAGUGAUUCUUUAGGAUUGUCACACACCAGAUUUUACCAGAAAAGUUCAAGACAAGAUGGCUCAAUGUUUAAAAAAGGAAAACUUGGUUGUUCUCUAAUCUACUCUGGUUGAAAGCUACCACUGAGGAACCUCAACAGUAGAAAAGGCUAUAAAGAUUAAGAAGUGACAGGGUGUCGAAGCCUGUACAAUAAUAAAAUUAAACCUAAUUGCCAGUUGAAAUGACCAAAACCCAAUUCCAAGUACUGGAGCAGGGACUCUAGGUGUGCAAUGGGUUACUUGAUUCACCCUAUUCCCGAAGAGUUUGCUUGAUCCGAUAUACCCGAAUGGAAUGGUUAUUUCUUUUCACAAAUAAUUAUGAAUUUGUAGACAGGGCAAGUAGGGUUGUAUCCACAGGGAUUGGGUAUAUUCGUUUCUUAAGAAAUCCAAAGUAAUACAGGGGGUGAUUUUGCAGGAACGAUGACAAUUAAAUAAAACCAAAUAAGAAAAUAAGAAUAAAUAGCUAACUAGAAUUUAAACCACAGUUCACUGAACUUGGAGUAACAAUAAUUAAAGACUUAAAUCAAUUAGAACAAGGAAACAAUUAAAAAUGAAAUAAAGUAGGCAACUAAAAAUCAAUUGGCACUUCACUAAAAUCAAGGUAAUAUUAACUAAAGAUCUAGCCAAGAAGUAACUUCAGCAAUGGUUCACCUAAUUGAUCAUUGAAAUAAAGGCAUGAUCAUUGAAAUAAAGGCAAUUCCGAUUAUUUAUCAAUAAAUAGGUUAUAACUACCAACCAGGGGAUGAUAGCCAACCCCUCCUUACUGUGUCGAUGAUCAAGGUAUGCUCGUUAAUCACUGCUCUAAUUAGGAAAUAAUCUUAGGUACGCCCGUAAGAUUUAAUUCCCCAAUUACCUUACGUAUUAGAGGAGCCCUAUUCUAACCAAAUAACGCACUACCAGGGUUAUUUCAGAUUAGCCCGCGUAUCCCCCUGACACGAAUCUAAUCGUGUCAGUUGUCACUAUUUUGAGGUAAGUAAAUAAUUACGGAUUUAAUACCCCAAUUGACAAUAGAUUACCCAAUCAAUUAAUUAUCCGGAUCCAAGACAACCAAUUAAUUAAACAACCGUAAGCAUAGCAACCAAGGAAUAUGCGGAUACCAAUGAAUAAAAGAAAAAGAUUGAAUUAAAUCGAUCUCACAAUUUGGAGGCGAACCAGAGCCUUCGUUGCUCCUUGACUAGAAGGAAGGAAAUUAGUUCAUAUUUGAUGAACUAAGUCCACGGGAAAUUGAAGAUAAAGCUGCGGCCAUUGUCAUUGAUUUUUGAGAACUCAAUCCGUUCCAACCAGGAGGAGAUAGCAAAGUUACACGAAAUGAUCCUCUGCCUCACUACGGACGGCAUACCAGGAAAGAUAGAAAAACUCUAAGCAUUUAACACGAAGAAAAGUCAAAAGCUACCAAUUUCUAAUGCCUGCCAUGCGUAUGACAAGCGAAAAGCAUUUUUAGAGAAAAGUCAACAAUCUCAAGCUAAGCUACAGACGGAAAACUAAAACUAAGCUCGCCCCCAUCUGAUCCUGUUUUCCCUCCUUUAUUGCGGCGGCUCACCAGGAGGAAGAAGCCCUCCAGGGUGUCCUCCCCUUGUGGAAAUUACCAAAGUGGGCGUGACAUCUUCUUUCUCAAAAAUGCCCCUGGGACAAGCUCUAUCAUCUGAAUUCUUUUUUUUUUCAAAUUGGUACCUGUUAUCAUAUUUUUCGUUCUACUCCCUGAAAUAAAUGCAAAUUACGAAAAGUGAGUAGAAUCUACUAAUUAAUCCACAUCCGGUUAGGUAAUAGGGAAAAUUAAUAAUAAAAUAAAUAAUAAAAUUGCUACCUAUCAAGAAGCAAAGAACAAAGGAAACAGAAGGGGCCAAGAAAAGCUGGAAUCAGAAAUAACUUUCUACCAAUUCCAAUGUUUCUAAAGGAAAAACAAGCACUUUUAGCUAUCUUUUCUUUUUCCCCUUUUUUUUUGAAGUACUCAAGAAAAAACUUGAAGAAAAAAGUAUCACCAAAAGGCAGGAUCUAUCGGGUAAAAAGCUUUGAAAUAUCUAUCCAAGCUGAAGUCACGAUAGAAACAAGAAAGUGGGAUUCCUUGCUAGGUUGUUCCAUUCUCUACCGGCCAAUCAUAACUCACGUGGGAGAAUCUUUGUCUUUGUCUUUAAUACCACCAUUUAAUGUUGUCGAACAAUGCACUUCGAUAUAUUUAAGUUGGAUUUGUUUUGAAUUUUCAAUGUUGUUCAUUGCUCUGGAAGCUUGCGAGAUUUCAGAAUGGGCCUUCACCUCCCAAAAAAAGGAUCCGGGGCUGGAACGGUUGUCAGAGCAACCAUUCCGGAAGGUGUAACACCAUUUGCAUAAGGUGUAACAAUAGAACAACAGCGAGUAACACUAGAACAACAUUUUUGUGGGUUCCACACGGCGUGAAAAUCGAGUUACAAGGAAUGAUCUGAGCUGUACAAAUUUUUUUGGUCUAAUCAUGGCUCUGAACCUUCCGGAAUGUUUGUCUCUGACAACCGUUCCAGCCCCUCCUCCCCAAAAGAAGGAGACAAAACACAAUUCCCAAGAAAGAGAAAAUUUUGAAACUCUCACAUGGGUUAGAGACCUACUUGGCUAAGUCCAUUUAUAUAAGCCUUGUAGGAAGAAAGGACUAUACUUUUUGGAUAUUGAGUGAGAGCUGCCAAUACACAAUGAGAUCAGCAUACAAGGAACUUAGCAAGAAAGUAGUUAUGGAGCUAAGAUUUUGUUUUCCCACACACCGAGGGAGGGGGAGGGGUAAUUUUUCCUAACAAAAUUAUCUUCAUAUGUUGUGUUCAAAAUAAUUUUCAUCUAUUUAAAUAUAUGAUAUCUAAAAACAUCAAAUAUUAAUUUUAAUUAUAAAGGUAUGUUUAUUUCAUAAAUAUAUAGUAUAAUUAUAACGAAAAUUAAGAUAAGAAAUAUCUUUUGAUUAAAUAUCUUAUAAUAUCACAAACCAGCCAAGUUGCAUAUUAUGAGAAGAUGCUCUUAUAUAUAUAUAUAUAUAUAUAUAACUAUGCAAUAUAUAUAUAUAUAUAACUAUGCAAUAUAAAUAUAACUAUUUUCAAUUAAAAAAAAAGAUAAAAGUUAUGUUAACAUACUUUGAAAUUUUAACCCCUUUUUUCAAAAGUAAAUUGAACUUUAUAUUCUUCCAUAGAACUAAAUUCAUAUAUGAUUGAAUCAGUGCUAAAUUUUUCAAUAAAUUCAUUUUCUAUGUACACAGUUAGGCAAUCAUUCAAGAAAUUAUCUUUCAUCUUGUUUCGAAACUUUGUUUUGAUUAUCUUCAUAAUUAAAAAUGCCAUUCUAUAGUUGCAGUUCAUACAGGAAGAGGAAGAAUAAGUCUAAUCAAUUGGAUUGAUUUGUAUAUUUGUAUAUGAGUCAAUAAAGUAAUUAUUUUUAUUUUAACCCAUUAAUAAUUAUGAAUUGGAUUUUUUAAAUAUAAUAUGUCAAAUUGGGUCAAUUUACUAUGGAUUAUCAAAUUAUACGUUUAAUUUUUUGAAAGUUAAAUAAUUAGCACAAUAAAAAAUAAAUAACUUUUUUUGAACUAAAAAAUUAAUUCAAAAGUGGCAAUUGAUAUAUAUAUAUAUACACACACACACACAUAUAAUCUCAUAAUAUAAACUAAAAUUGCAAAGAAUUCGAGGGAACCAACUUUAGUUCACACAAAUAUUUAUACACUAUGAAUUAAAAUUUUCAAAACUUAGAGGGGUCAUUAGGGGUGGGCAAAAUUAUCCGCUAACCCGAAAAUCCGUCAUAUCCGAUCCGAUCCGAAAAUUAGGAUGUCCGAUUUUAUUAUUUGAUCGGGUCAAAAGAGGGUCGGGUAUCCGCUAAGAUGCGGAGCGGGUUAGGGUCACAUAAUUAAAAAUCCGCGGGUACCCGAUCCGCCCCGCAGAUAUAUAUAUUUUAUUAUUAUUAUUUUUUAUUUUUAUACACACUAUAAAAUAAUAAAUUAGAACUAAAUAAGUAAUUUUAUUGAACAAAUUGCAUUACAAAUAUGAGAGACUAUAGUUUAUUUACAAGAUUCAUUUGUAAAGACCAUGAUCUUAUAUUUUAUAGAAAAAAGUUUAAUUAAUGUGGAACAUAUAUAUUAAAAAUUGUGUUACUUAUUUCAAACUUUUAUUGAUUUUGAAUUCUUUUAAUUUUUUUUCCAUUAUCUUAUAUUCUCUUCAUAUGCUUGUUUCUUAGUGGGAAACCUUUUUUUAGAAAAAAAAUUAUUAAAUCUUAGAUGAAUGUGUAAAAUAUAAAAUUAAAUUGGUAUAAAUCAUUUUUUUAAAAAAAUUAAAUGAUAAACGAGGCGAGACGAGUACCCGUUGAGAUAGAGUACCCGAUACGGGUAAAGGUCAAAAAAUGGCUGACCUACAAGGUGCGGGUCGGAUCAGCCAAAUGAUAAAUGGGACGGGUACCCGACCCGCGCCCACCCCUAGGGGUCAUGACCCCUUCAACGCCCUUGGCUCCGUCAUUGCAAGAAAGGAAGGAGUCUGGUAGGAGGUAGAAACCGGGAAGAAGGACCAAGUUUGCAUGGAAGCAAUGAACAAAUGUGGAAACACUAGCGGGAAUUGAACAUCAAGAGCAAACUGAAGCUGUUCAUAUGGAAAUGCUGUUGGAAAAUUGGCUAUAUUCAUUGUAGAGUAAAUGAGAAAAUUGAUUGUAGAGUGAAUGAGAAAAUUGUUCUCAUAAUGGCACUCUUGAAAGAAUUCAGGAUAAUUAUCUUUCAUUCAUGUAUAUUAAUUAUUGAUACAUGAUUUCGGAUAGGAUUCAUGUGUAUUAAUUAUUGAUACAUGAUUUUGGAUAGGAUUCCUUUGGGGUUAUCUUAUUGAGAUACAUGUAUGUACAUGAAUGUGGUCCUUUGAUAAACGUGAAGAUAAUUAUCUGGAAUUUAACUCUUGUUGCCAAUUUCGAACAGUCACCCUAGGCUAGCAUCUAUAAAUAUCUCCUGUUGUUUCAAAAGCAAGUGCGCUCUCUCUCUCUCCUUUUCCUUCUUGCAUCUUCAUAUUUUAUAGUGUUCCAUAUUGCUCUAGUUCGAGUUCGUUGUGGUGAAUAAAGUUUGGUGCUGACAUAUUCACCUUUAAUCCGUUGUAUCCUGGGAGACAGACGCCUACUCAACCUUGAGCACUCUACCUGGAGGGGGCGAAUUGUUUUAAGGAAAUUGUGCUCACAAGCCUCGGAUUGUUACUAUUGUUAUUUUUCUAUCUUUACUUUCUUUCUAGGUUGUAUUUAUUCUUCUCUUUUGUAUCAGCCUACUUUAUUAUUUCACUAACAGUCUUAAAACAGAUUCGUUCUCAAUGGCUGACAAUACAGGAAGAGAAACCAACACAUCUACUGUUGAUGCCUCUGCCUCUGGCACAAUUGUGAAACAACCUGAAGGAAAGAUUACUCCUAUGGUUUCUACCAACCAUAGUGAGAAACCUGAGAAGUUCCAUGGCCUAAACUUCAAGACAUGGCAACAAAAGAUGUUGUUCUAUUUGACAACAUUGAAUCUCUCGAGAUUCUUAAGUGAGGAUGCUCCAAAGCUGCCUGAAGGCUUAACUGAUGCACAAGCUGUCAAUGCUAUUGAUGCUUGGAAGCACUCCGACUUCCUUUGUCGAAAUUAUGUCAUGAACUGCUUGCAUGACUCGCUGUAUAACGUGUAUCAAAUACACAAGACGGCGAAGGCACUGUGGGAAUCCUUAGAUCGGAAAUAUAAAAUCGAAGAUGCCGGAGCAAAGAAAUUUGUCGUUGGAAAAUUUCUAGACUAUAAAAUGGUGGAUUCCAAAACUGUUAUCAGUCAAGUGCAAGAAAUUCAGAUUAUCUUGCAUGAGAUUCUAGCUGAAGGCAUGAUUUUGAGUGAAACCUUUCAAGUAGCUGCUGUUAUUGAGAAGCUACCUCCUGGAUGGAAGGAUUUCAAGAACUAUCUCAAGCACAAGCGCAAAGAGAUGAGUAUGGAGGACCUUAUCGUUAGACUUCGAAUUGAAGAAGACAACAGGGGUUCUGAUUGCAAGGCAACAACUUUUGUUGAUGCUAAAGCAAAUAUUGUGGAGUAUAAGCAAGGGCAAAACUCCAAAGGCAAAAAGGCAACUCGAAAUCUUGGGGCAAAAGGGAAAAUCUCUUAGAAAUUCCAAGGUAAGUGCUUCAAUUGUGACAAAAAAGGUCACAAGUCCACUGAAUGUAAGCUUCCAAAGAAGAAGAAGCAUGAAACAAAUUUGCUUGAUGGAAUCGAGGGAGACAUGGAAAACAUGAACCUAACUGCUAUGGUUUCUGAAGUAAAUAUGAUAGGGUCAAAUCCGAAAGAAUGGUGGAUUGACACUGGAGCUACAAGACAUGUUUGCACAAACAAAGACUUGUUUACUACCUUCGAAAAAAUUGAAGGAGAAAAAAUGUUCAUGGGGAACUCUGCCUCAUCUGCUAUUGAAGGUCAAGGGAAGGUGUUACUAAAGAUGACUUCUGGCAAAACAUUGACUUUGAACGAAGUUCUGUAUGUGCCAGAAAUCCGCAAGAACCUUGUUUCUGGAUCGUUGCUGAACAAGCAUGGCUUUCGCAUGGUUUUUGAAUCGGAUAAAGUUAUAUUAUCCAAAUCUGGGAUGUAUGUAGGGAAAGGAUAUACAACCGAUGGGUUGUUCAAAUUGAAUGUAAUGACUAUUGUGAAUAAUAAGAAUAAGUCUUCUGCUUAUUUGCUUGAGUCUUCCAAUUUAUGGCAUGGUAGACUAGGUCAUGUUAAUUAUGAUGCUUUGCGUAGACUAAUUAACUUGGAUCAUAUUCCUUCCUUUCACAUCAAUUCAAAACAUAAAUGCGAGAUUUGCGUAGAAACAAAAUUAACAAGGUCAUCUUUUCAAACAAUUGAAAGAAACACCGAACCCCUUGAAUUGAUUCACACAGAUGUCUGUGAUUUGAAAUUUGUUCAAACAAGAGGUGGUAAUAAAUAUUUUAUCACUUUCAUUGAUGAUUGUACAAAAUACUGUUAUGUGUAUUUGCUCAAAAGUAAAGAUGAAGCCUUGGAAAAAUUCAUUCUCUACAAGAAUGAAGUUGAAAAUCAACUUAACCGGAGAGUUAAAAGGUUAAGAAGUGAUAGAGGUGGUGAAUAUGAAACACCUAUUGGUGAUUAUUGUGCAAAAUAUGAAAUUGUUCAUGAAGUAACUGCACCUUACUCACCACAAUCGAAUGGUGUUGCUGAACGGAAAAAUCGCACAUUAAAGGAAAUGAUGAAUGCGAUGUUACUAAGUUCAGGAUUGCCUCAAAAUAUGUGGGGUGAAGCUAUUUUGUCAAGCAAUUAACUUUUAAAUAGGGUACCCCGGAAAAAAACAAGAUAAAACUCCUUAUGAGUUAUGGAAAGGUAGGAGACCAUCCUACAAAUACUUGAAAGUGUGGGGGUGUCUUGCAAAAGUGGCUAUUCCAGCACCAAAGAGAAUAAAGAUAGGUCCUAGAACUGUGGACUGUAUCUUUAUAGGCUAUGCACAUAAUAGUACUGCUUAUCGAUUUCUUGUGUAUAAUUCAGAAAUUUCGGAUAUACACAAAAAUACGAUAAUGGAAUCAAGGAAUGCUUCAUUCUUUGAAGAUGUGUUUCCUUGUAAAUUGAUUGGUGCAUCAAGUUCAUCAAAACGAACACAUGGAGUUAUGAAUCAAGAAAAACAUGAUCAUGACUUGUUUCAACAAGAUGAACCGAGACGUAGCAAAAGGGCUAGAGUGGAAAAAUCAUUUGGAGAUGAUUUUACAACUUUUCUAUUAGAAAAGGAACCACAAACCUAUACAGAAGCUGUAAGUUCUUCUGAAGGAUUUUUGUGGAAAGAAGCAAUAAAAAGUGAGGUUGAUUCUAUUUUACAGAAUCAUACAUGGGAGUUAGUGGAUCUUCCUCCUGGUUGUAGACCUUUAGGGUCCAAAUGGAUCUUUAAAAGGAAAAUGAAACCUGAUGGCUCUGUCGAUAAGUACAAAGCCAGACUUGUAAUCAAAGGAUACAAGCAACAAGAAGGUUUGGAUUAUUUUGAUACUUAUUCUCCUGUUACGAGAAUAAAUUCUAUCAGAAUGAUACUUGCUAUCGCUGCAUUGAGAAAUCUGGAGAUACAUCAAAUGGAUGUAAAGACGGCCUUCUUAAAUGGUGAUUUAGAUGAAGAAAUCUACAUGGAGCAACCUGAGGGUUUCAUAACUCCGGGAGCAAGAAAUAAAGUUUGUAAAUUAGUCAAAUCAUUGUAUGGACUAAAACAAGCGCCAAAGAAAUGGCAUGAAAAGUUCGACAAUGCAAUGAUAACUAAUGGAUACAGAAUAAAUGAGUGUGACAAAUGUGUCUACACUAAAGAAACAGAACAUGGCUAUGUCAUCUUAUGUCUUUAUGUAGAUGACAUACUUAUUGUUGGUAGUAAUGAUAAAAUGGUUAAGUCUACCAAGGACAUGUUGAAUUCAAAAUUUGACAUGAAAGAUAUGGGGCUUGCUGAUGUAAUUUUAGGAGUUAAAAUUACAAGAAUAUCAGACGGGUUGGUCUUGAGCCAAACUCAUUAUGUGGACAAGAUUCUGGAAAAAUUCAAUACGAAUGAUUCUGGAAUUGCAAGAACUCCAUUAGACAAUAGUUUCCAUCUAUCUAAGAAUAGAGGAGAGAAUAUUUCUCAAGUAGAAUACUCAAGAAUCAUUGGAAGUCUAAUGUAUUUAAUGAGUUGUACUAGACCUGACAUUGCAUAUGCAGUAAGCAAAUUGAGCAGAUUUACAAGCAAUCCGAGUGCUGAUCAUUGGAAAGCAAUUUUAAGGGUACUUAAAUACCUACGGUACACUCGGAACUAUGGACUGCAUUACACUAGAUACCCUGCUGUUUUAGAAGGGUAUGCAGAUGCAAAUUGGAUAUCUGAUAUAAAGGAUUCAAAAUCCACAAGUGGAUAUGUGUUCACACUUGCCAGUGGGGCAGUAUCUUGGAAGUCUUCUAAACAAACUAUUGUAGCUAGAUCUACAAUGGAAUCUGAGUUCAUUGCCUUGGACAAAUGUGGAGAAGAAGCUGAAUGGCUCCACCAUUUCCUUGAAGACAUUCCAAAAUGGGAGAAACCUGUGCCACCAAUUUGUAUUCACUGUGAUAGUCAAUCAGCAAUUGGAAGAGCACAGAAUAACAUAUAUAAUGGUAAGUCUAGACAUAUACGUCGUAGGCAUAAUACCAUUAGACAACUACUCUCAACAGGAGUUAUCUCUAUUGAUUAUGUGAAAUCAAAGGAUAACAUAGCGGAUCCGCUAACUAAAGGAUUGAAUAGAGAGUUGGUUGCAAAAAUGGCAAAGGGAAUGGGACUAAAGCCCAUGGAAGGCUAAGUGUUAUAAAGGAAACCCAACCUAGCUGACUGGAGAUCCCAAGAUCUAGGUUCAAAGGGACAACCUAAUUAUAAGGACUUAGCGUAGUCAUUGUGGGGGGAUACCCCUAAACCCAUUCCGUAAUGAAACAAUGACGCAAAGGAGAAUUAAGAAUAGCACAAUGUGUGCUUUAAUGAUUCUUAAGUGAAGUAAUUUAUUACUGAAGACUUAAGUAAAUCACCUAUGUGAGAGUGAAGUGGGGCCGCUUCAAAAGAGAAUUGUUUAGGGCUCAAUUCUUAAAAACUCUUGCUGAACCAGGUUGAUGUUCAUGGCCAAAACGAACAUAACUAUGAGAACUGAACUAAUGGAGCAUGAUUCCUGUGUGAAAUAUAUGGUUCAUUUACACUAAAAAGCGAGACAGUUCAAAGACAUCAUGUCUACUGGAUUGCUAGUAAAGUAAGUGUAUUUCACAAGAGAGGGUUCAAUGGGUAACACCAACCUAUCUUAUGCAGGUUUCAGUCGUGGAACACUACUGUCGAGUCAAAUCAAAACAAUUUUUCAUUCAUGUGGGGGAUUGUUGGAAAAUUGGCUAUAUUCAUUGUAGAGUGAAUGAGAAAAUUGAUUGUAGAGUGAAUGAGAAAAUUGUUCUCAUAAUGGCACUCUUGAAAGAAUUCAGGAUAAUUAUCUUUCAUUCAUGUAUAUUAAUUAUUGAUACAUGAUUUCGGAUAGGAUUCAUGUGUAUUAAUUAUUGAUACAUGAUUUUGGAUAGGAUUCCUUUGGGGUUAUCUUAUUGAGAUACAUGUAUGUACAUGAAUGUGGUCCUUUGAUAAACGUGAAGAUAAUUAUCUGGAAUUUAACUCUUGUUGCCAAUUUCGAACAGUCACCCUAGGCUAGCAUCUAUAAAUAUCUCCUGUUGUUUCAAAAGCAAGUGCGCUCUCUCUCUCUCCUUUUCCUUCUUGCAUCUUCAUAUUUUAUAGUGUUCCAUAUUGCUCUAGUUCGAGUUCGUUGUGGUGAAUAAAGUUUGGUGCUGACAUAUUCACCUUUAAUCCGUUGUAUCCUGGGAGACAGACGCCUACUCAACCUCGAGCACUCUACCUGGAGGGGGCGAAUCUGUUUUAAGGAAAUUGUGCUCACAAGCCUCGGAUUGUUACUAUUGUUAUUUUUCUAUCUUUACUUUCUUUCUAGGUUGUAUUUAUUCUUCUCUUUUGUAUCAGCCUACUUUAUUAUUUCACUAACAAAUGCAUCGAUAAUCCACUUCCAGUGAAUAACUUAAUCUUCUCCAGAACCAAGAAGGGAGAACCUAUUUGUACUGUUCUUUUUCUGCAAAUUUGCACGAGUGUGGAGACUAGCCCCACUACAAUCGGAUGGAAUAAAUGAUCAGCAGGGGAACUUUAUGAGAUGGUGUAAUGCACUGCUGGAGGCAAGGAAGAGAAUGGAUGGAGCAGAACAUAUAGUACUAACGGUUAACUUACUGUGGCGGAUGUGGAAAGCAAGGAAUGAUAAGAGUGUUUAAACCGCACCAUACACAUCCUGUCAAAGUUGUCCAGAAGGCACAAGGGGAAUGGGGGGAAUAUACUGAAGUAAUGGAAAGGAGGAUACGAAUGAGCAUACCAGAAACAGCAAGAGAAGAGGAUGAAGAUCAAAUCAAUAAUGAAGAAGGCAAUUCCAUUAAUAUCUGCUUGCAGUCAGUGAUCAGAAGGAGGGACAGGUUUUGGGAAUUGCCAUUGUGGUAGCAGAUGCAAUCAAUACACUGCUAGCUAGCUGGGCCUUAAAGGAAAGGAGCACAGGGCAUAAUCUGCUAGAUUAUACUGAAGCCCUAAGAUUAACUUUAAGCAAAGCAAGUGAGCAUAACUGGAGGAGGAUUAAAGUUCAAGCGUCUUCGCCAAAGCUGCGGAAGCUAUUGAGGACCAAGAAAGCAAAGGACACAAGAUAAUGUGCACAGAUGGAAUAUAUCCAUAGUCUAAGCCAGUUGUUUUUGGAGUGGUCAUUUGGUCUAUCAACUAACGAAAAUAGAAGUAGAAGUAGUAUGAUUAGUAACCAUGCACUAAGCGUUAUCCAAGAUAAGGAAUGGUGGAAUCCUCGGUGUUUUUGAACACUUUUGUAUAGUUCAAUACUAGUCUUUGCUCAACCAUUGUAAAAUUACAAAGUCAGAAAUAAACUUCACGUCUAAUUUCUCAGAAAAAAAAUAAAACUUGAGGAGUAUGGCUAACUCUAAAAUUAGGAAAAGGAAAUCCAACGGUAGUGCAAGCACAAGAUAUACAAGAAUAUAAAAUAUACAUUUUUUUUACUAUGAAAUAUACAAUCUAACAGUUUUUGAAUGGAUUAAUUUUAUAUACAUUCUCAGUACGUAUAUAUACCAUGAGAAAUGAAAGGAAAAUGAGAAAAGAAAAGUCCGACACUGGAGCAUAACCAUGAGAUAUGAAAACUCUAUCACCGUAUUCUUAAGAGCAAUGUAACUAAAUUGUGUCCCCCCUAAAAAAAUCUCAGGCUCCAUCCCUAGAAGAAUAACAGUUGGGAGAAGCUGCAGCCAUAAGAUUAGCACUUAAUAUGACAGAAGGAGCAGGAUGGAGGAAGGUAGAAAUAUAGUGAGAUUGCAAAGAUGUUGUUGGCAGAACAUUGCCAAGUCCAGAACAUGAGCCAUCAUAGUUAAAGACAUAAGAGAGUCAGCUGCUACUUUUGACCUAGGUUCAUUUUCAUAUACUAAUAGGAUAUAGUAAAUGUAGUAAGUCGCAAACUUACAAAAUUUGCAUCUAAAUUAGCCAAGGAUGUAAAGUCGAAAUGAAACUUCCCGCUGUAGCUUGUAGAUCGAGCAGGCACAAGUAGAUAUGAGGGCAAUGGUCCGAAUUUAGAUUGCAAAAUCUUGAAUUAUCAAAUAUUAAUGAAUUCUAACUUUUGGCCAAAAAAAAAUGGAUGUGAGAUAAGAAAAGGAAUGGUUUUGAAGAUCAAAAUGUGAUUUUAACAAGAAGUUUAUGAAGGUUUCUAUUCCAAAUUAUGACCAAAAUCCAAACAAAUUAGUAUUUUUGGCAUAUUAUGUGAUUGUGCAUAUCUAACAAUGUGUUGGUAAUUAAUAUUGUUGUUGAAAUCCUAAUCCUACUGUUAUGACCUUGCGGUUCUACUAUUCGAAUUUAUGAAUUCGAUCCUGAUCUUCAGAUCAAUAGAGUUUGUAAAAUUAUAGUUACGUCACUAGAAGUUUUUGGAUUUAACUCUAUAUUACUUAAGCUAAGAAAUCUCUCAAUAAUUUGGAAUUUGAAAUCUUAUUUUACGAAUUUAGAUCAGUCAUAUUUAAUUUUUAAACAUUCAGGCACAAAGUAAAAUAGGGUCUAGAGUGACUUGAACUUUUAUGCUUUUAACAUAUAAUGUUAUAAAUUAUAUGUUUUAGUUAAAAAAAAAUCAUUUUUUAGUCUAAUAUUGCAUAUCCUACAUCUACCAUCUUUUCCUCGGCUACAAGUGUAUAAAUAACUAGGAUAUUGGUUUUUUUAUAGGUUUAUAUUUCAUAUAAAAUCUUAUGGUUCCACGAUUCUACCUACGAUAUGAUUGUUUUCUCUCUCCAAGACUCUCUCUCUCUUCUUUUUUUUAAAGCAAUUAUUUUUCCUCCACUUAAGUAUAACAGUCUUACAUUGAAAUUUUGGCUUCCCCACCAAAAAAUUUAAAAAAUAAAAAUAAAGAUGAUAUGCUUGUUUUUCUCAGCGUUACGAUAUUACCACAUGAGAGACCAUAUAACAUUUUUCUGUUCCAUUUGAGAAUAGGAAGAGUAAAAGUCUUAGAAACACCACUCCACAAAAAUCCUUGUAACAUGAGAAAAAAAGAUUUUCGACACAUUUUUUUUUAAAUUUUUUUAUCUCGCAUAUAUUAUAUUGCUAUUGUAUUUUUUUUACCAAAAAAAACCUCUAAAAACUUGCAAUCCAAACGAGUUCAAAUGAUUUUAAUACAUUUAUCGCUUUUUCGUCAAAGUUCUCACAAAUUUAUCAAACACUUUAUUGCUUGAAUUGACUUUGUUUUUUGGAAAAGACAAUCAUGCUUUUAGAUGCUCCAUUCUAUUGUAUUAGGUUAGCUGCAUUUACAUUUUCACGUCAAACAUACCAAGGAUAAAUCAAUCUUGAAAGAAAGCGGUAGUGUAAAACACAUGCAAGCACCUUUCUUCCUGUCUAUUGCGCUUUGUUCUCACCCUUACCUGCAUAAACUAUACAUUGCAUAUAUCUUUCUCUUUUGGAGUCCAACUUGCCUUUAUAGCUCUCUCUCUACUUUCAUACCCUGAAGCUUGUGCAUGGCAAAUAUCAGGCCUUCUGGUCCCCUUUUUAUAUAUUUCUUGCUGUACCAAAGGGCCUCUAAAUGAUAAAUCUUAUUCUCAUUGUGAACCAAAGUAUACCUCAAAAUUAGAAUAUUAGUACAACAAAUGCCUGUCAUUGAGGGUUGAGAAAAGCAUGAUAUGGCAGAAUGUCACGCAUUGACGGUAAGACAUGAGUAGAAUCUCAUCAAAGCCCUAAUUAAUCAGUACAGCAUGUUUGCCAAAUAAUUCCAAAAAAGUUUCUUAUUUCCCCCUUAAUCCCAUCAGACUAGCUCAGUUCAAACAAUAAUCUUCGAACACCCCAGGCUCCAUGUUCUCACCUCAUGGUCCGGAGAUUUAGCGAGAUGGACAUCCAUCCAGUGGAACUCUAUCCAUAUGCACAAGUUUUCCCAAUGCUUUCGAGGCAGGAUAGUUGGGAUCCGUGGUGUGCGUGUGCAUGUGAGUGUGCGUGAGAGAGAGAGAGAGAGUCAUCUUUCGUCACUCUGACCAAAUUGCUUUUGGAUGUCUUUGAAAGAUAUUGUAGCCGAACCCCUCUGUUUAGCCUUCUGUUGUGAAGGGUGCUCCCUCCAACCAGUCAUAUAUAUUACCUAAAACAAUCCCAAUGGACAAUUAUCAAGACCAAACAUAUAUAUAGAAGAGAGCGAACUCUGAGAAAGCAUAGGUUGUCUUAUUACUGAGUCUGAAAAUAGAGCAUUUCCUCUAAUUUGCAUGAGAUGGCAAAAAUGGACAAUCAUAAACAUGCGAAAGUUCAAAAAACUAAGUCAUAAUUAAGGGACCUUUUCAAUGAUAAGAACUCAGCAUCUGGGGAACAGAGAAGUUACUAACAAUUAACACAACAUGAACAUAAUAAGCAAUGAAAGAUAGAUGCAAUGGAAGCAACUAGGAACUGGAAUUAAAAGUUUCAGAGACAAUAUUGGUGCAAUGGUUGACAAUAUGCAUCAAAAAGGAGGAUAAAAUGAUGCAGCACCAAAUCGUUAUGGGAGAAUAAUAGAUGAAAACUCACAUUAAGAAGUGAAUGUACAAUAAGGGCGGAUUUGGAACUAACAUCCCUAACGCAAGCUGAAACUUUCAGCACAGAAAACCUUUGAGAUCCUGUCAUUGCAGUUAUAGAGUAACUGAACCAGAACAACAGGGAUUUGGGGAGAUAACAACAGGGAUUAGGUAAAGAUAAUUUACCUAAUACCUGUUGCUAUCACCUCAAAAAGUCUCUUCUGGUUACAAUGCCAGUGAAAAGAAAAGCAAAUGGAAAGCAGUGAAAGCCUCAAGAUCUGGCAAUCAGGUAUCGCGUUUGAUGCUUGUAAUGAUUUGCUUUUGUUUCCCAAAGCUAGGUUGGAACACGCACAAGUAGUGGGAAAGAUCCCAAGGACUUCCAUAAGUGUCUGGAAACAGAACUGAUGAUCAUAAAACCAGGGUUGAUUGAGACCAGAGACAUGGGGAUGUAAUUGGGAGUGCCCUUGCUGCACUCCCGACCUUCCAGCAAAACUUAUUCUGUACCAGAUAAAGUGAGGAAACAGAGGGUGGAAGAGGAGAAAAGCUCUCCAUUGUGGAAGGACCAUACUGGUAAAACCUGUCUUAGUGGUAAUUUCCUGCUGACCUCAGCAGUAGAUGAGAUUGAGCAAAAUGCCAGAGGUUUCUUAUGUGGAAACAAUGGAGGAAGGAAGAUGCAUCAUGAAGGCUGGCCUUGAUAACUCAAGCCAAAAAUCAAUGAGAUCUAGACAUCAGAAGGCUGAGAAGGGUGAAUAUGCCUUUACUUCCCAAGAUGAAAAGGAUAUUUGCAAGAUAACUUAACUUACACCAGGCAGGUUACUUACAAGCAAAUAUUGCAGAGGGAAGGAAAGGAUGAAAUUUCCAGUGAGAGUAUCAGGGCUGGGGAAUGACAUUAGAUAAAGGAGUCCAAUGGAGGUUGGGAACUAAUGAACCCCUGCUCUAGUGGAAGGACAGAUGGCUACAAAGUCACCCUCUCUUGGAGACUGUAAACCAAAUAAACCCAGAGGAUGAGGUGAGCUGGAAAGUUAAGAUCAUUGGAGCUCACUUGGAGACUGGAAUUGGCGCCAAUUAAAGAACUGUCCUACAUCAGUAACAAUGCAAGACAUCAUGAUAUUAACAAAGCCAAUGAACUGCAUUAUCCUGCCCCAAGUUCUGCCAAACAUCAACCUAAGUAAGUAUGAGAGAGAGCAAAGAGAGAAUUUCUUGAUUCCAAUGAAGACAUCUUACAGCCGUUAUCUAGCUCCAUGUAUAAAUUUAGUAUAGUGCUUGAGAAUUCUCUCUGAAUUUGAUUUAUCCACAUGUACAAGAAUUUGGAGCAACAUAAUGACAAGAAUCAAUUGACAAACAUAAUUCAGGAUCGCCUACCCCAUGAAUCCUAUAUGUGGGGCCAUUAGUUAUGACAACUGUUUCUUAAAGGAAUUGCAGAAAUUCUGGCUACACUAUUUGGAAUAACUCUCGUCAUAUUAAGGAGAUUUCGUAAACGUUACUAAAAUUCAUUAUGAUUUCAUGUACUUACCAAAAGUUUGCAACAUAAAAUUACCUAGAAAGUCCUUAAAAACCUUAAAAGCCAUGGAAUUCAACCCAUUCCAAGGGACAAAAACAACCAGUAACUUUAUCCAACAAGCAGUAGAGAUUUACACAUCGACGAUUAGCUGCUGUCCGCAUACAUAUACAAAAUCAGGUACUUUCAUAGAAAAAAGGUAAAUUAGACGCUGACUUUUUGUAUACUGUUGGGCCCACUUGAAGUUUAUUUAGUAGUGUAAGAAGGAAGGAACAAACAUUUAAUUAAAGAAAUACACUACAGGAAUGGAAAUUUAAGUACCUGGAAUGUUGCUGGUACAGUUCCAUCUUCUGCUGCAAACAUUGACUCAUAAACAGCUGCGGUUGCAAGGGCUGUUUCUCUAUUUAGAAUCUAGUUCACAUUAUGAAGAAAUUAUGUGAGACAGUAGCAAAGUAUUAAACAUUUACUUGAGAAGGAAAAUAUGAUACUGAAAAUGGUGGAAAACUAGGAUACUCAUAAUGGCACUUAGAAGGAUGAAUUAGUUGCAGAAUGUCUUACCUUGCCCCUAUGUAUAAGAGCAUUUGAUUCGCCCAUUGCACGUAGAUGCUCUAUCAACUCCAGAGCUACCCCAGCAAAAGGGAAAGCAAUCAGUAUGUAUAAUACGAAAAACAAAUGGAAGAAAAAAGUGCACAUAUAAAAGAUAAUAUAGCGAAAAAUUACAAAUUCUAAAGCAGUUUGCUGCCUUGGUAGGACAACCAUUGAGCAUAUGUGGUCUGUAAACAAAUAGUUUUAACCUAUCAAACCAACAAAAAGGGGGUAUACCAAACGGCCAGUCUGACACAAGCGGAAGUGCAAACAGCGCAGCAUCUUAAUUUGAUUCACAACUAUGAUAUGGAUUUUUAGAUGAGAACCAGAGAGAAUGUCUUCUAGGACACUAUCUUAGCACAAACUCUCAAAGUUAUAUGCAAAAACCUCAAGAAAGCACCAUUCUUUCUCCGAAAGACUAAUCCAAAUAGAAAGUAAAAAUCACUAGGAUCCUAUAUCACCUAAGAGAAGAAAAUCACCAGAAAUUCUAAAAUAACUAGCUUCUGGUACUUUUACAGUGACUCUAUGGCCUGCAUGUGUCUUUGUACAUGCUUUCGACAGGGCAUGAUUGACGCAUUUAUGUUCAAGCUUAUUACAAGAAUUAAAAUCAAAUGAAGAAAAGCAUCACCUAGCAGGCUAGCAGCUCAAACAGUGAAGAUAGCCAAAUAGCAGAGCAUUCCUACAAUAUUUUACAGCAUGAACCUACCCAACUUCCAUAGAUAGGCCAAGGCCACAAAAGAAGCAAGUUGAAAAAAAUUUUAUUACCAAAUUAAAAACUAAAAGACAAUUGGGUUAGCUGUGCUACUAAAUAAGACAGUGCAAAACCUCCAAGACCAUUAAAAACCGACUUUAGAAACCAUGACAAAGCAACAGUUGAGAAUCUAAUCCAAAGCAAGCAUAUCUAAAUUAUCAGGUCUCUCGGGCGCUACAGUCAGUCUAUAUAAACAACAUUCUCUACAGCUCAAAUUACCAUGCUCAACUUGUUCCUUUUUCACUCUCCCCUCAAAAUCACAUUUUACAUUAAUAACUACCAAUCAGAAGAUUUCUCCAAUCUAAUAGUUACACAAAUGAACUGGACAUAAAUAUGCACCAGGAAACCUAAAAUCUGAUCAUCUUUUUCUUACUCCCUCCGUACCAUAAAAUUUGUUGCUUCUAGGGAUUUGGACUAGGUUUCAACAGCAAACAUCAAGUUCUUGCUUUUUGCCUACUUUCAACUUUUUGCCUCCAGGAAUUGUUAGCAAAGCCUAUGCAUGGAAACUCCAAAUACUCGCAAUCAAGAAAACAAUGUGGGGCCAAAUUCCAAAUACCCACUGUCAAACAAGACAAACAUAAAUCAAUUAUGUAAUUGUUCACAUGCUAUUAGUGCUCUGUUGGUGCAACUACAACUGUUGCUCACAAUUAUGGGGCCAAAUAGUUUGGAUAAACAUUAUUCUCUAAUGGAAGGGUCAAUCAGAAAUAAGAGAUAUAUGAAUGAGGAGAGUGUAAUUAAGGUAUUUGUUCAACGAUGUGGACAUGAAUAAUUCUGUAACUGACUUAGGUUACAAAACAUUGCAAGCCUAACGAGUGCUGCAGUUGAUUUGUGAGGUCAUAAUUUCAUUGUAGAGGAUGUAGACUCAACCCUUUGAAGAUCCAGCAGUGCCUGGAGCUUCAAACAAAAGGUUUCCGAGCAGUUCCUGGAGCUUCAAACAAAAGGUUUCCUUUGGUGAUGCUAUGAUGUCAAAAAUUAUUUCACAAAGCACGAUGAAAUAAUUCUUCACAUUAAAGUUUUAUUUAAAUUAAGCCACCCUAGGUUAUGGCUGACCAAGCUCAAACUGUAAGGACCUGCCAGGCUGAGUCUAAUGCCCUACUCCAAAAACAAAAGAGAUCUAAGAAAACAAAGACUACUGGUUAUCGGCAGAAAGAUGUACACAUUCUACGCUUAAUUGCUGCUACUACUUGGCAGUGACCUAGCUUUCCCUACCUAUUGUAACAUUUAUUACAUGGCCCGAAAAGAAAAAAAUAAAGACUAUAUGUUCUGGGUAAAGUUUUAAUGUAAAACAAGUGGCUUAACUAUAAGGAAUGCAAUAAAACCUGGUUCAAGAGCAUGGCUAUUUUCACGGAUACUGAUUUCUUCAAGCGGCCAUAAAGAAUGAAGCUUACGAGGGAUGAACAAGAAGAAGAAGAAUCAUCUAAUAUGAGAAAAGAGAGUUUAAAAACUAAAUGUUAUAAAGUUGCAAAUGAUAACAAUGGAGCCCAAAAAAGGAAUGCAUAAGACAAAUUUUUCAAACAGUUACAGCUGUGAUUGAUUUCACCAAGUGACAAUUUAACCCGCUAUAAAAGCUCUUUAGAGAGGUUGAAUGCACUAUUAAUUUACUUAUGACCUUCUUGUCAAUCUUACUCCUAUUAAACUGUGUUUUCAAGUAUCAAGAAGUAAAUAUAAACAGAGUUUAACUAUAAGCCUAUAACUUUACCAAAGGUUCAAGAUUAACAAGCAUCCUUCUUGACAAGAACCUAGUUAACCACAAUCAAGUGAAAGGGUAAAUACAUCAUGCGUACAAGCUACAAGGAUACAUAGCUCUUUCAAGUUGACAAGCCUUGAAAAGUAAAGCUCUCAAAGCCAAUGGAAAAAAAAACUUACGAUUUUUAUAUCUAACAGUGUAUUCAUCAACAUCAACUCCAGGAAGCAUGAAGCCUGCUCUAGUCAAAAGAUUACCAGCAUCUCGCACCUAGACAUCAACAAAGCUGUUUUGUCAUAACUUCCUGGUAAAUAGUAUUAUAAGCAGCUAAGGCACCCAUUUAUGCACACACGAAUAUGACCAGGAAACUUAAAAAUUUGAUCAUGUUUUAAUACUAAGUUUCAUGCCUUUUCACCUAAGAGAUUUUUUCCCCAAAAAAAAAGAAGAAAAAGACAGUGUAACAAGGUACUACCUCAAAUGAACGAGAAGCCUAAGAAAAUGCAAAAGGAAUAGUAUUGCAGUUGCUUAGAGACAGACCAGAUAAUGUGACCUUUUCUCAAGUAUCCAAGAAAUUUACACAAUCAAAGUCUCAUAAAUUUUCUGUCAAAUGGUCAACUAUCAGAGAAAUGUGGCCUGUGUAUUUAAUGCCUUACUCUUGAUGUUACAUAUCCUGGUAUAUAAGAGAGGAAUCGGUCUAGGGUAACACGAAAAGACAGACAUGAAAAGAAAUUUCCAUGGUGAUAUAAUUUGCUGUACCAAGCUUAGUGGAAAAAAACUGUUGUAAGUGCAGAUCAACUAUUUGAUAAUGCCAAAACAGGUAAGAAAAGAAUUUCCUCCCGUGAGAAGAUUCUAUAAGAGAAUAAGCUUUUCUCCUUUUCCAUGUGGUGACAUCAAUUUAAAUUAACAACUGAAUCUCUUUAAAAGUUCAUGCAAUUUUGAAAUUGACAACAAUGUAGGACAAAUAUUAGGUAAAAAGGUACAGUUCAAGAGUACAUCAAGCACAAAUGCCCAUAGGCACAGCACUUUCUUCAAGGAAGCACUAUGCUUCUCUGUGUACGUGCAAAGGUGAAAUGACAACCUUCAUAAACUGAAUUUGUUUUUCUCUAAGGUGAUCUUCAGAACAAUACGGGUCACUAAACAACACAAAGGCUUAAGAGGCUACCUGUGCCAAGGGUGAUAAACGUGGACUUAUGCCUCCUUCACGUUCCAUUUGUGCUACAGUGCAUGCUAUUCUUAGCUCCCUACAAGAUACCAGCAAUUACAAAACUGUAAACUUAUGCAUUGGAAAACAACUACAUCAGUUAAACAAAAAGUCAUGACAAACUUUAAUGUGUCUCCACCAAGGAUUGCUGCGAGAAAGAGGCCAUCAGGCUUCAAUGCCAAUCUAGCCUGUUAAAAACACAAUGGUAUGCGUGUUCAUCAUUUCAACAACGUCCCCUAAAGAACUAUUGGAUGUAAAUACUGCAAAGUUUGGACUGAUAGGUGCAGUAGAGGAUGAGCAAUAAGAAAAACAGAAUGCACCUGUAUCAUGGCUCCAGGAAGAUCAUUAGUCCAGUGGAGUCCCAAGCAACUAAUAACCAGAUCCAGAGAACUUGACAUUCACAGCAGAAAUUCUCAGUAAGUACUGUUUUGCAUUAAUAAACACAUGAAUCAGAAGACAAAAAUAUGACCCAGCUGGCAUAAAAACCCAUAGCGAUUCAACUAAACAUACCUUUCUUUAAUGGGCAAAAAUUCUUCAUCUCCAACAACAUAUGACGUCUCUAUAUUUUCGUUAGGCAUUCUCAUCUCAGCAUUUUUACAUAAUUUUACCAUGUCAUUUGAUGUAUCCAUCAUGAUUAGCUUUUCAAUACCACCUGAUAACUAAAAACUUUAGUUACAAUACAGAAUAAUAUAGGCCCAACCAAGAAUUAUAAAUGAAGAAAUCCAAAAUUGUGCUGCAGUUAGAAAACACAAGUUUUGAGCAAGGUGAUUCUCAGAGAACAUACAAGAGUUAAUGACACGGAUGAAAUAUAUCCGCCAGGAUCUGGUCGAUCUACCAUAGGCCACAAUAUGUGAUGUAAUUUGUAUAUUUUGGAGUACCAGGUGUUCUACACAAUUUGGAAGGUCACACAAUGUUUUCUGAUACCAUCAACUUUAUUAUAUACAUAUGGAAUCUUUCCGAUCUAAUAGAUAUCACUACUGGAGAUGAUGAACAAAAGCUUUAAAUUGUUUCAGGGUGUUCUAGCAAAUGAACCUAAAGAUGACGAUUACUUAGGAAAUAUAGACACAAUUUCUUGAAUCCUUUUCCCUCAUAUACUUCUCUUAUCUUUGGACUUAAUUAUUUUUCCAACUAAUUGCUCUUCAAACUUUCUAUUGACCUGAAUACCAUAUUAACUAACAAUUAAUUGCGACUCAUCAUCCAUGCCUUUGACUGUCAUAUUUAUCCAAAAUCCAUUUAAGUGUCACCAACAAAGCCUUUAAAACAUUAUCACCUAAGCUGCCUCAACCUGUUCUAUUCUAAUUCUCUUUUACUACCCAUCUCCUGGAAAACUUCUGCCAUAUCUCUCCACAGCACUCAGAUGAAAAGUCUAUUUUGUUCCAGAUUUUUUUAUGGGACCACAUGAUGCAAAUACAGUAAACAACAAACAAAAUAGAGCAAUUAUACUCCUGUAGAAUUCAGAAACAGCUGGAUUUUCAUAGACAAAUUGAAAAGAAAUGCUUGAAAAGAAGUAAAAUGGCCAACUUUUCUACACCUAGAUGAGCUUAAUGGCUUACACUAGCAGUGAAUGCAUCAUGUUCUUCAAAAUAUGAAAAGAGACCACCUAACAUCAUGAAAACUUCAGAAUGCCACCUUCAAUCUGACAAUGGAAUUUCCAUUGUACACUGUUUGUCUUACAUAACAAAGUUCUAUUACUUUCAGACAGUUAAUGGGUCCAGGCUAAGAACGCAGAAAGUCUUGAACAUAAACAAGCGAUAUUCUCCAUCCUAAAUAAGCCAUUAAUCGCUCUAAAAAUCAAUUUAGAUAACUUUCUUCAUAUCAUGCAUCCAUGAAAUACCCUGAGUGUUCUCAUCUUCAAGACGUAAGCUCACAGAAAAUUAAAAAACAGAUAUGUAUUAAGUAACCCUAUAUAGAAGUCAAUACUCAUCUAAUAUUUCACUUCAUGGUAGAACCAUGUGCUGCCAACAAUAAUACAGAAGUAACAGAUACAAAAGGGCUAAAAUUUUAACUCUUACCACGUCCCCUUAACAAACGACGAACAGCUUCCAGUGAUCCGCCCAUACACAAUGUGGUAGGAAAGGUCCUUUUACAAUCCUAGAGAGAAAAGGGGGGACCCAAUUCAAACCAAGAAAAAGUUCAGAAUUACAAUUUAAUUGGCUGACAUAAAGGGUUGUAAGAACUGGAAAAGUAAGUUAAAACUUGCUCUUCAUUGUUGUUUUCACUAAGUUGAUGAUCUUCAAGUCUUACAAGCUGUUAUUUCACAUAUUAGCUACAAGCAAACUCUAACAUAGUACCCUUUACAUUUUACAACAUGUUGCAAGAUACUGAUUAAGCAAUUGAAGUCAUAUAAUUCUACAAUAGAAGAUAUGAAACAAGUUUCAUACUUUUAAUAUGUAUAAGGUAAGUUUAAGAUCAGUUCAACCACAAGAGCCAAUUCAAAUUUAAGAAGCCAUACCAAGCAUAUGACCAACAAUAUGUCUAUAGUCUACGAGUAUUCCAUCACCAAAACAGCAUCAAAUAAUUGAGACAAAACUAUUUUGUACUCUUUGAAAAUUGAUUUAUUUACAGAGAAAGUUUAAAGUUAAUUGCAGAAAAAAAAUAGAUUAUUAAUUGGAAUUGAACUUGAAAGUAGGUGCAGGCAACCAAAGAUGUUCCAUCUAGAACUGAGUAUGAGGCAUACAAGUUAGAUAAGAAAAGCAAUUUGCAACUGCAAUCUGUGCCAAAACCUAAAGGGCCACCAAAAGAAAUACAGUAUAAUAAUGUAACAGAUAUUUGAUAAAAUGGAUGCUGGGAAGGACAAAAGUUGGAGCCUUUACGCUAAAUUGACAAAUCAAACACUAAUAUAACUCAAGCAACAAUAGCACAGUUAGCAAAAGCUCUUCAAUGAAAAGAUCAGUAACAUUUUUACAGAGCAUAUCACUAUAAAAUCUGAUGCCUGACCUAGUUACAAACAGUCUGUGAUCAUAUACAGCUUUCUCCAUCAACUAUUCUUUAAUAAUUUUCUUGCAUUAAGUAUCGCACAGAUUUCAAUCAUUACCCUUCCACGAAUAUCUUCCAAUUAAUGAACUCUUACAGUUCAUAGAUGCAAAAUUACACGUCAUUUCUGCUUUUGACUGUAACUUAAAGAGGACAAACCUAAUCAAUAAAGCCUACGGAAUGGAAGCAAUAGAAACAUCAAAAGUGUAAGGUUAUCAUGUUUUAUAAGGAACAGGGGAAGCCAUAUCUGCAGGAUAGAAAUUUAAACUUUUAACAAAGAAGAAAACCAUAUGAACAGCUCAAAACUACCACAACAGUUCCCUUAUCCGACUAUCAUAUUGAAAGAAUUUACACUCCAUUUUUUCUCUUCAUCUCUGUACAAUAUGUAACUAUUUCAAUCCUACAAGGCAAAUCUUGAAAUGUUAAUCGCCUAAUACUAUUGUUUAGAAACAAUUCAACCAUCAGAGCCGAAUAAUUCCACAUUCAAAUCGAAGCAAAUUACUACAAGAAGAAAAAUAAAAUAAUCAGUGAAAAUAAAAUAAAAAAUAACAGCAUAUUAUAUUACUACCUCCAAGCGAUCAAGCAAAUUUUCAGCCACAGCAUCAACCAAAGAAUCCUUUGGCUGCAUCAACCAUGCAGCUCGAUCGCGCUGCCAUUAUCAAAUGUAAGGCUUUAACAAGGCCUCCACUACAAUUUACAUGCAGUACAGAUUAAACCACCCAAAAUUCGAAAACAAAAAAUUGAACAGUAGGACUAAGCAAUUAAAUACAUAAAUAAAUAAAAUUUCCCAUAGGAAAUGAAAAAAUGCUCAACUUGUUUCCGCUUGAGAUGGCGGUCGAAGAUUUUCACUUUCGAGCUCUGACCGGCGUCGUCUGCGAUUUCGGUUGAAUAAAGCCUUUUCCAUAUUCCUCCCCCUGCUAAUAGGCGUCUCUGCCAAAAUUUGAUUGAAGAUGUUCUCAUCUUUUUUUUCCUUUUUUCUCUUCCCUUACAAUUGAUUUAAAACUGCCUGGAUCGGGCCGGGUCGACUGUGUGCGGGUCCGGUUGCGCUCCACUUGGCAACGCCUGGGGAAGGAAAAGAGACGACUUAAAUCCCUCCAAGUUGCCGGACGUUUCCAGCUUUUCCUGUAAUUUCAGUCCCCUACCUAUAUUCUUCAACUAGUUCGAAAUUAGUCCUUUCGCUCAUGCUUAUGCUUUCUUUCCUUCUUUUUUUUCCCCCUUUCUUUCUUUCUUUCUUUCUUUCUUUUUGUUUUCCUCUUUCCAAUAAACAUUUAAACCAUUCACAAGUUUGUUCAGUCAAAAUUUAAGUUCAAAGUCGCGUUUACCUCACUCUUGCCAAAUUUGAAUAAUUAGGUUACACAUAAGUUCAAAAGAUUGAUAAGUGCGUAUAUAUUUUAAAGAAAAUCUUUAUAGUAUGUUUUCUAAAUCAAUAGUUAAUUAUGAAAACUCGUAUUGAUCUCACUCGAGCCAAUUUUGAAAAACUAAGUUAUUCGUAAGUUCGAAAUGUUGACAAGUGUACAUAUAUUUUAAAAAAAAACCUCUAUAGUAUGUUUUCUAAAUUAAUGGUCAAUUAUGAAAAGCUAUAAUAAUAAGAAACAAUAACGACGACGAGCCUUUGGGGAACCAUUUUUGACCUACACAUGCUGCUGCAGCACAAUGGUGCUUUAGACAACUUGCAACCCUUAAAUAACCGCAGGAUGAUGAAUAGCAAUUGAGCCAGAUGUUUUGGGAAUUUGAAGGGGUCUAAAAAGAAAUAAAUAUGAGCAAGAGAGGCAACAAAAAAGGGAAACCGUGGAUAAGUGUGACGACCCCACUUCUCCCAAGGGCGAACCCAAGGGUAUCGGCGGGCCGCCUGCCUAACUCGCGCCAGGACUCAAAACUUAAAGCAAUCAAACGAGAUAGAUCGAAAGAGCACUAUAUACAAUAUAUACAAUCCCAAAAGUUAUAUUUACAUCUUCAAAAGUCUCGAGUCAAACCAUUCUAAUAUACUACAACCACAACCAGCAGAAGAUAGACCCUAAGAAGGGUCCUUAUACAAACCACCAAAACAAAAACAACCAUCCUAACUGUUCAAUUAUUACAAGCCAAUCUAACUAUACUAGCAUACGAGCCAAAAGUCCCCGCGUCGGCCCCUGCUAAGGAAAACAAAAGGAAAGGGGUAAGCUAUAUGCUUAGUAAGUAAACAGGGGCGAAAGCAUAAAUUCACGUAGCAACAAAUACCCAAUAAGAGUAAAGCAAAAGCAGAAAAGAACAACAUCAUAUAAUAAGGAUACGGGUGGCUCCAAAGCCAAUUCAUGUGCCAUGUAUGAUCUCCUGCCGACACUCCGUCGACCGCAAAUAAUAGUCCGUAGAACUUCACUUGUACACCCACCGACACCUUAUCACCCUCACUGGCCAGUCACCUCACAAACUUGCCCGGGCGAACGAAAUCACAAACUUGAGCUUGAGUCACAAGUUCGGGUCACAAACUUGGUCACCUUUUCGGUGAACCGGAUUCACAAAAUUGGUUCAUAACAUGAACCUACAAACUUGGUGACCUCAGACCAAGUUGGACUGACUUCGACCAAGCCCUAACCGGCUCGAAUAGUCCAAACAGGUCUUAGAUCGGGCCCACGAACUCACAAACUUCACAAAACUUUACUCGAAAGUCGCCCCGAGCCACAAGCUCAAGGGUUUUGGUUCCAAAAGGUUCAUAUACAUAUGCCAAGUACAAUUAUACAUUUAAAUUAGGGUUUAGGUCGAGUGCGAUAAAGUACACCCUCGCCUAAGUACCCUUUUCACAUAUCUCAAACACAUAGCAAAGAAACACAUCAAACCGGCCUGAAUACUUACUCAAAAUACCGAAAGUAGUACGAAAGCAAAAUCGCUUUGCGCGUUCGCUAGUAGUGGGCCCCACCGGCUCCGCCUAGCUCACCGCUGUCUGAAAUAGAAGAUUUUAUCACAAACGGCCACUAACAUGCCCAAAACAAGCAAAACGGCAAAAUGACACGCGCGCACGUAAAUAUGACGGACGGAAACGGAAACGGCAGAUUUGAUACUCAUUUCUAGUUUACCCAUAAGUUGAGCUACGAAUAUCGGAUUAAGGCGUAUAAGAUGCCAAAUCGAAGCUUAAAGGAUGAACAAUAACUGUUAUGAAGACAUCCAGAACUGAAACUGGAGGCUUCAGUCCCAAAUGAACCAAACACAAUCACUUACGAAAUCUGGCCAAUGCACAAAUGGUCAGUUUUGAGUGCGAACUGUUUUCUAUGCUACACAUGGUCAAAAGAGCUGAAAAUUGGCAGUUAGAUAGUUCAUUCCAAAUGGAACAACUUUCAUGAAGGUCGGCAAUCCAAAUUCGGAACGGAAAUUGGUCAUCAGGACCAAAACAGAUCUGACCAGAAAAUGGUCAUCUUCACGGCCAGGCCUUAUUUGCUCGGCUAUAUCUCAGGUUUUAUAAAUCCGAUUCAUGAAAUUCCAAGGGCGAUAGAAAGCUCUGAUAUAAGGCUAUAAGUUUGGUGUUUUGGUCGCAAGCUCAAACAGCUUGUAACCCAGUCAAAUGUGAAGCCAAAGUUCCAGUCGUAAACUUUCCAAAAACGUAACAGAAUUUGCUGGUCAAAACAGGUCUGAGUAUUUCGUUUAUAGCUCAGGAUAUAUGAUGCGAUUGAGCACGAGACCCAAAGUGUACAAGUAGACCCUGUGAAGGUGCCCCUAGGCCCAGUGACACGAGCACGAGCUAAGAGAUUCAAGGAGUCCCUCCAAGCCUUGGUACGUGCCAUCCAAAUCCAAGAGAAACCGGCCAUUGAAGGAAUUGAGUUGGAAUAUCCUUGCACGACUACUAAAAUGCUGCUUACAAUUGAAGAUGCAAGUGUUCAAGCUCCAAAUAGCGGCCUAUGAUCUAUAGUUAGUUGGGCUAGCUUUCGGUCAAGUGGAGGCCCAAGGGCCUGGCCGAAAUUUCCUUGUUAUCUUUCCAGUUUAUUAGGUCUUAGUCACGGCUAUUAAUAGCCUCAAGCCGCAUGUUACAUUCAGUUUUUGAGAGUAUUGAAUAAAAUUUCCAGAAUUUCGUCCAUUCCUUGUGGCAAAUUCCCUUAGCUUGUGAAAGCUAAGUUGAACAUCCUAGAGCUGAUCCUAGGCUGUUCGUGACUUAUCAAUCAAGCACACAUACUUGAUUGUGGCGUCCUCUACCGUUAAAUCUGUUCUUGGGUGGUCCAAGUUCGGGUUCAACUCCAUCAAAUCUUCAUCGUGUUCCUCUAGAUCCGAAGUUGCUUCCGCGUCUCGCAUCAAUAUACUAAUCCGUUUAACCUGAAAAUUUACAGGGAUAUCCAGGACUUAAGGGGCUACAAUGUUGAAGAAGGAAACUUUGUCCAAUUUUGAAUGUAACAAGGUCAAAAAUGCAAGACACUAUACCAGAAUUGCAAAACAGGAUCACAAACCGUAUUUGACCUUAAUAUGCGGUAAUGGCACCAAAUUCACUACAGUUAUCGGAUGGGGGUGUAAGACCCACCGUUUCGAAGCUAGGAAACAGGGCUACAACACUAUAGAAGGUCACUCAGUCCAAAUCCUAACACAACUAGGUCAAAUAUGCAAAAUACUAAACCAGAAUUACCAAAACAGGUCUGCAAAACACACAAAACUGUAAUCGGUAUAACUCAGUCUAUACAAGUCCAAAUGCCGAAAUUCCAAAGGCAUAUGAUAUCUAAGACAUCCAGCUACAUUUCAUCAGAAGACACCAACAUCCAAAUCCAAAGUGAUUCCAGCCAAAAUAGCCAAAUACCAACGCAGUUUUCGCAUUCUGACCAAAGCAGAACAGCUACAGUAAUUCCAACAUAACUCACUCUACACUAAUCCAAAUGACCUGAAAUUUUGCAGGCACCUCAAACACAUCAAUACCUACAACUUUCAUGUUUUAAGCCAAGGCCAAAUCGGCCUCUAACAUGGUGCAAUAAAUUCGGGCAGAAUGUAGCUUCAUGAACCCUAACUUUCCAAAAUUUAUUCCAAAUCCAAAAUUGGUUGCAAAUAUCAAUCAUUUCCAUCCACUAGAGUCAUAACCCCUAAUUAUCAAUCAUCAUAAACAACCACAACACCAUAAUCCAAUUAAACCAGAAAAAUCAUCAAUAAAAUUAAAACUUCACCAAAUCACUUCAAACCAAGAUAAAACCAGAAAUUUCAGCACUUUAAUCACUACUAAUCAUAUCUUAAGCAUCAAUAGGUGUAGGUGGAAGUUUAAGCUUCACUUACCAAGUAAAAAAGAGAGGGGAAGAUGUUGGACACCUUAGCUCUUCCAAAAAACUUCACCAAAGCACUUACUAACACCAAAUAGAGAGGUUUUAUGGAGUGGAAUCAAGGUUGGAUGGUUGAGUAAGUUGAUUGAAGCAAGAUUGAACCCAAAAUCUUGAAGAGUUUUCUUCCUUUUGUUGCUCAAGAGAUUCGGUCACAAUGGAGAGGAAAAGAAUGAAUUUUUGGUGAUUUUUGAGAUAUUUAUUCACUUGGUAAGAAAAGUCAAAAAGGUGAAUAGUUGGAGACAAAGUCCAACCAAUGGGAUAGUGACACUUGUCACUUCAUUAAAUGCAAUUCAAUCCUUUGGUCACCUCUCACAUCAAUCACCUCACACUCCUUUACUUAUCCAUUAACACCCGAUAAAUUUUUCACAGUAUCCGGAACGUAACUUAAUUGGCCGAAUUUUUUCCGAACUUUUCGCACUAGUGGGUCCCACGUCCAAUAUACGUUCUUAUUUUCUCAAAAGCUAACCGAUACUUGAAAAUCAUCUAAAACCCAUAUUUACUCAUGAAAAUUAUCCUGGAGAUUUUCUAAUAAAGAAAAUGCGGAAAAAAAAACGGGCGAUAACUAAAACUCCACUUAAACUUUCUAAUAUUGCGACACUAGAGGUUGGCUAAUCAUUCAAACUUACUAAACCUUUGUAAUUAAAAAAAAUUCUAUAUUUACUUACGUCAAGGCACACACUAGAAUACCGAAUAUAAAUUAUAGUUUGAACCUUAUAAUAAUAAUACGUAAACUAGGAUUUCCAAACUUAACCGAAUUAGGGUUUCCUUUCUAGCCAUAAAACCCUGAUUUUUCUAUACUGAAUAUCAAAUAACCCUAAUAUCGACUUACGAUCGGACUGGGGCCUCACAAUCUCCCCCACUUAGGACAAUUUCGUCCUCGAAAUUAAUUCGUUGGUCAAAGCGUACCUUUGAAACCUGCCGAAGGAUUAGUCACUUCCGGUUGACCCAUUGUAUAGACUCUGGCUGGCCCUUUGGAUCGAUUUUCCCCUGCAUUUGACGGCUUACCUGUAGUCCCUUCAGUCGGUGGCUUAGGUUUCUCCUUUUGUGACUUAGGGCACUGGGCGAUCAGAUGUUCUGCACUACCACACUUAUAGCAUCUUCGGAUCGAACUGUUCUUCCAACAGUUUUCGUCAGUGUGAUUGGCCCCAUAGAAACCACAGAUUGGCUUAACGCCUGCACUUGGCCCUCCACGCUGGGCACUCCUCUGGGGCUCUUGCCCUACUCGACCUCUUCCAUAAUUACCCUGGUUUAGGGUUCCUGCGGGUCGGGGACCAUCUGUUCCAUGACUCUUCUUAGAAGGUAACUCACUUUGCGAGCUCUGUCCAGUCACAAAAUAGCUCGAAUCAGGUUGUCUUCGUUUCCUCUCAUGAAAGGAUUUUACCUGUCCCCUAGCUGUCUCAAUCCGCUGUGCCUUUUCUAGUGCCUGGCCAAACGUGUCCAACUGAGCAGCUGCCAGUGCCUCCUGGAUCUCCACAUUUAAACCUUGAACGAAGCGGCGGAUUCGUUUUCGCUCCGUUAGCACCAAUUCCGGUGCAAAACGGGAGAGCUUUGUGAACUGGGUCUCGUACUCCGCUACACUCAGUGUCCCUUGACGCAAACGGAUAAAAUCAUCUUCCCGUUUCUCUUGUACGAUGGGUGGUAAAUAUUUUUCAUUAAACUCUCGCGUAAAGUUAAUCCAUGUCCAGGGGGUCUGUUCCCGCUCCCACUUGGCUCUGAUCACAUUCCACCAGGCUCGAGCGGCCCCCUCAAACUGGAAAACAGCAAAAGAUAUCUGCCGCUCCUCCGAAUACCUAAGCGCGACAAAUAUAUCGAGCAUACGGUCCAUCCAGGUUUCUGCUAAAUCAGGAUUAGGUCCUCCUAUGAACUUAGGAGGUGCAAACUUUUGGAACCGUUCUAAGGCACGGUCCUCGCCCUCAUGAUUAUGUCCCGGAUUAUGUCCAGGGUUUCCAACAGCAUUCCCGUGGCCCUGAGCCUGUUGGUCAAUCAUACGCUCCAUCAAGUCAGCCAUUCGCUGGAUGGCUGUAGCUACUUGGUCUGGCUUGUGUUCAUGUUCCAUUUCAGGGCCUCGUCCUCGCCCUCUACCUCCACCUCGAGUACCGGAGGCCAUCUAGUGUACAAGUCUAUAAUUCGGAACAAUACGUAUGCUUAUUAUCCAGACCAUGAGCAAAAGAAGAGACACAAAACUUACGCACAAAAGACACACAAAAGAUAAGUUCAAAAUUUUAUUCAAAUAUAUACACAUAUUUACAAAGUCACACCAAAAGAUUUACACAUUACCCGACCUCCAGUCGGUACAAAACCCAAUAUACACGAGCACUCCGGCUCCAAAAUGUAGUCAAUCACGUGGUAACAAAAGAAACCAGGCAUACUGGUUAUAACAAAAUAAACAUGGCAGAUAUAACAAAAUAAACAUAUCAUAUAGUCAAAAGGAAAUCCCAUCAACGGCCCUACGCGCCUCCCCUACGGAACCUACCUAAUCCACUAGCACCGCCCCGGCGGCCCUAGGGUGUAAACCUAAAGAAUAGGUCCAAAUAGCUAACUUCAAUAUUAAGUAAGAACCAAAUCGAUUCACACUGGGACUGGCCAUCUCCAAGUGCAAUCAACUCAAUCCCCACUUUGCCUUAUGGAAACAUUACAAAAGUCAAUAUCAAAAUCUUAGCAUUCAAUAUUUACCUUAAUAGCCAAGUAUCCCACAUUCCGGCAUCCUAAACUUCAAGUCUAGGAUACACUACAGAGAUCUGAAACCUAAACUCUGAUACCAACUGUGACGACCCCACUUCUCCCAAGGGCGAACCCAAGGGUAUCGGCGGGCCGCCUGCCUAGCUCGCGCCAGGACUCAAAACUUAAAGCAAUCAAACGAGAUAGAUCGAAAGAGCACUAUAUACAAUAUAUACAAUCCCAAAAGUUAUAUUUACAUCUUCAAAAGUCUCGAGUCAAAUCACUUUAAUAUACUACAACCACAACCAGCAGAAGAUAGACCCUAAGAAGGGUCCUUAUACAAACCACCAAAACAAAAACAACCAUCCUAACUGUUCAAUUAUUACAAGCCAAUCUAACUAUACUAGCAUACGAGCCAAAAGUCCCCGCGUCGGCCCCUGCUAAGGAAAACAAAAGGAAAGGGGUAAGCUAUAUGCUUAGUAAGUAAACAGGGGCGAAAGCAUAAAUUCACGUAGCAACAAAUACCCAAUAAGAGUAAAGCAAAAGCAGAAAAGAACAACAUCAUAUAAUAAGGAUACGGGUGGCUCCAAAGCCAAUUCAUGUGCCAUGUAUGAUCUCCUGCCGACACUCCGUCGACCGCAAAUAAUAGUCCGUAGAACUUCACUUGUACACCCACCGACACCUUAUCACCCUCACUGGCCAGUCACCUCACAAACUUGCCCGGGCGAACGAAAUCACAAACUUGAGCUUGAGUCACAAGUUCGGGUCACAAACUUGGUCACCUUUUCGGUGAACCGGAUUCACAAAAUUGGUUCAUAACAUGAACCUACAAACUUGGUGACCUCAGACCAAGUUGGACUGACUUCGACCAAGCCCUAACCGGCUCGAAUAGUCCAAACAGGUCUUAGAUCGGGCCCACGAACUCACAAACUUCACAAAACUUUACUCGAAAGUCGCCCCGAGCCACAAGCUCAAGGGUUUUGGUUCCAAAAGGUUCAUAUACAUAUGCCAAGUACAAUUAUACAUUUAAAUUAGGGUUUAGGUCGAGUGCGAUAAAGUACACCCUCGCCUAAGUACCCUUUUCACAUAUCUCAAACACAUAGCAAAGAAACACAUCAAACCGGCCUGAAUACUUACUCAAAAUACCGAAAGUAGUACGAAAGCAAAAUCGCUUCGCGCGUUCGCUAGUAGUGGGCCCCACCGGCUCCGCCUAGCUCACCGCUGUCUGAAAUAGAAGAUUUUAUCACAAACGGCCACUAACAUGCCCAAAAUAAGCAAAACGGUAAAACGACACGCGCGCACGUGAAUAUGACGGACGGAAACGGAAACGGCAGAUUUGAUACUCAUUUCUAGUUUACCCAUAAGUUGAGCUACGAAUAUCGGAUUAAGGCGUAUGAGAUGCCAAAUCGAAGCUUAAAGGAUGAACAACAACUGUUAUGAAGACAUCCAGAACUGAAACUGGAGGCUUCAGUCCCAAAUGAACCAAACACAAUCACUUACGAAAUCUGGCCAAUGCACAAAUGGUCAGUUUUGAGUGUGAACUGUUUUCUAUGCUACACAUGGUCAAAAGAGCUGAAAAUUGGCAGUUAGAUAGUUCAUUCCAAAUGGAACAACUUUCAUGAAGGUCGGCAAUCCAAAUUCGGAACGGAAAUUGGUCAUCAGGACCAAAACAGAUCUGACCAGAAAAUGGUCAUCUUCACGGCCAGGCCUUAUUUGCUCGGCUAUAUCUCAGGUUUUAUAAAUCCGAUUCAUGAAAUUCCAAGGGCGAUAGAAAGCUCUGAUAUAAGGCUAUAAGUUUGGUGUUUUGGUCGCAAGCCCAAACAGCUUGUAACCCAGUCAAAUGUGAAGCCAAAGUUCCAGUCGUAAACUUUCCAAAAACGUAACAGAAUUUGCUGGUCAAAACAGGUCUGAGUAUUUCGUUUAUAGCUCAGGAUAUACUAAUCCGUUUAACCUGAAAAUUUACAGGGAUAUCCAGGACUUAAGGGGCUACAAUGUUGAAGAAGGAAACUUUGUCCAAUUUUGAAUGUAACAAGGUCAAAAAUGCAAGACACUAUACCAGAAUUGCAAAACAGGAUCACAAACCGUAUUUGACCUUAAUAUGCGGUAAUGGCACCAAAUUCACUACAGUUAUCGGAUGGGGGUGUAAGACCCACCGUUUCGAAGCUAGGAAACAGGGCUACAACACUGUAGAAGGUCACUCAGUCCAAAUCCUAACACAACUAGGUCAAAUAUGCAAAAUACUAAACCAGAAUUACCAAAACAGGUCUGCAAAACACACAAAACUGUAAUCGGUAUAACUCAGUCUAUACAAGUCCAAAUGCCGAAAUUCCAAAGGCAUAUGAUAUCUAAGACAUCCAGCUACAUUUCAUCAGAAGACACCAACAUCCAAAUCCAAAGUGAUUCCAGCCAAAAUAGCCAAAUACCAACGCAGUUUUCGCAUUCUGACCAAAGCAGAACAGCUACAGUAAUUCCAACAUAACUCACUCUACACUAAUCCAAAUGACCUGAAAUUUUGCAGGCACCUCAAACACAUCAAUACCUACAACUUUCAUGUUUUAAGCCAAGGCCAAAUCGGCCUCUAACAUGGUGCAAUAAAUUCGGGCAGAAUGUAGCUUCAUGAACCCUAACUUUCCAAAAUUUAUUCCAAAUCCAAAAUUGGUUGCAAAUAUCAAUCAUUUCCAUCCACUAGAGUCAUAACCCCUCAUUAUCAAUCAUCAUAAACAACCACAACACCAUAAUCCAAUUAAACCAGAAAAAUCAUCAAUAAAAUUAAAACUUCACCAAAUCACUUCAAACCAAGAUAAAACCAGAAAUUUCAGCACUUUAAUCACUACUAAUCAUAUCUUAAGCAUCAAUAGGUGUAGGUGGAAGUUUAAGCUUCACUUACCAAGUAAAAAAGAGAGGGGAAGAUGUUGGACACCUUAGCUCUUCCAAAAAACUUCACCAAAGCACUUACUAACACCAAAUAGAGAGGUUUUAUGGAGUGGAAUCAAGGUUGGAUGGUUGAGUAAGUUGAUUGAAGCAAGAUUGAACCCAAAAUCUUGAAGAGUUUUCUUCCUUUUGUUACUCAAGAGAUUCGGCCACAAUGGAGAGGAAAAGAAUGAAUUUUUGGUGAUUUUUGAGAUAUUUAUUCACUUGGUAAGAAAAGUCAAAAAGGUGAAUAGUUGGAGACAAAGUCCAACCAAUGAGAUAGUGACACUUGUCACUUCAUUAAAUGCAAUUCAAUCCUUUGGUCACCUCUCACAUCAAUCACCUCACACUCCUUUACUUAUCCAUUAACACCCGAUAAAUUUUUCACAGUAUCCGGAACUUAACUUAAUUGGCCGAAUUUUUCCGAACUUUUCGCACUAGUGGGUCCCACGUCCAAUAUACGUUCUUAUUUUCUCAAAAGCUAACCGAUACUUGAAAAUCAUCUAAAACCCAUAUUUACUCAUGAAAAUUAUCCUGGAGAUUUUCUAAUAAAGAAAAUGCGGAAAAAAACGGGCGAUAACUAAAACUCCACUUAAACUUUCUAAUAUUGCAACACUAGAGGUUUGCUAAUCAUUCAAACUUACUAAACCUUUGUAAUUAAAAAAAAUCCUAUAUUUACUUACGUCAAGGCACACACUAGAAUACCGAAUAUAAAUUAUAGCUUGAACCUUAUAAUAAUAAUACGUAAACUAGGAUUUCCAAACUUAACCGAAUUAGGGUUUCCUUUCUAGCCAUAAAACCCUGAUUUUUCUAUACCGAAUAUCAAAUAACCCUAAUAUCGACUUACGAUCGGAUUGGGGCCUCACAAUAAGGGUGUAAGGAAAAAAUAUAAGAGUUGGAUGCAUUCUCACCAGACCAAACAUAUUAAGAAUGAUGUAACUUCUCGUGAAAGCCAAGAACUGGUAAAAUGGAAAGGAGUGCAAUCGGGAUAGACAACAAAAUACAAAUAUAUAAGCUCUACUUAACUUGUAAUAUAAUACAGAUGAGCAUACCACUUAAGAAAAUGUAGAAGAAGUUGGAAAAUUAUAUAUUAAAAUUAUCUCUCAUCCAAUUACAUAUUUGCCAUUUACCAUUGGCAAAACAAAAAAAGGAAUAUGUUUUCAUUAGAUUUAAAGGAUAAUUUCAAAAAACCUCCCCUAAGGCUUCUGACUAUUUCAUUGACUGCCCUCCAAAUUUUAAAAAUUACACUAACCUCCCUAGAGAUUUAUUAUCUUAUAACAUUAGGUCCAACUAACAAUUAAAAGUAAUAUUAAGAGAAAGAAUAUAAUAUGAUUCACCAUUACCCCUUCAUCUAUUAAAUUGUAUAAUUAAUCUAAUACGUGCCCAAACAUUAAAAAAAUUAUAAUUUGCUAUUCAUCAUCGGAUAUUAAAUCAUAUUAAAUCACAUAUGACAUCAAAAAUAGUAUAUCAUUGUAUAUAUUUUACUUAAUGUAACAUCCUAAUUGCUCAUUUUAGUUACAAACCUGUUAUCAAACAUGAUCGACAACAAAUAAUAAAAAAAUAUGUAACCAAAAUAUUACCAAAAGCGAAUUUUAAUAUCAUAAAAAUCUCAACAAUUAGCCUUGAUAUGUUGACAAGAAUAUUUAUGAUGUUAAAGUUUGUUCUCUGUAAUAUUUGGUUGCAAAUUUUUUGAAUAUUUGUUGUUGAUCAUAUCUGACAAUUGAAAUGUAAUUGAAAAGAAUAAUUUGGACCUUCUAUUAAGUGAAAAAUAUAAAAUGGUAUACUAUUUUUUGAUGCUAUACGUGUGUAGACACCAAAUUUUAGCUUAUUCAUUUUUUGUUUUAGUAAUAACUAUUAUCUAUUUUUUGUUUUAAGGCACCUUUUAGCAUUUUAUAGCAUUUUAGAUUAUUAUUAUCUAUUAUUUUAUUUUUAGUUUUUAUUUCGUAUUAGUUUUGCCCUCUUGGCCAUUUAUCUUUAUUUUUAUUAAGAUUUUUUAGCAUAAAAUUUGUCAAAAAGAGAAAAUUAUUCUUUAAAAAUAUGUUUUGUUUCCUUUUACUAUUUAUUGAUUAAAAAAAAAGGGAAAAGUGAGCCGCACAUUGCAGCGCAUGAAUAUCAUUUUCAGGAAGAAAAUAGGGCUGAGGGAUCGGAUGGCUGAAAUAUUGGUUGGAAGCCCACCCUUCAUCCUCACCUUUGAGGUGAGGGUUUAGGGGUUGGAAGUUCCUAUAAAAAGGAAAGAAACAGCCAAGAGAGAGGGGAGGGGUUUUGGAAAUGACGGCUGAGAUAUUGGAGAAAGGACUGGAGUUGUGAGAGGACGGCAAAAAGAAAGAAACCAGAGGAUUUUUAUGACGGCUGAAGUGAGAGUAGGAAAGGGGAGAGAGCCCGUGACAACUGAAAAUCUAAAGCGGAAAAAGAAGGAAAAGAUAUAGAGUGAGCUUGGGAGGCAACGGUGGAGAAAAGCCAGAAAAACUUGUUGGCAGCUGAAGGGGGCGGCUGAAGAAAGAAUUCUGGAAAGAAAAAGAGAGGCGGUGGAUGAAAAAGAACGGGGUUUGACAGAUCUACAUACUUUCACUGGCGGUUUCUUUCAUCAAGGUUGCAUCAGAUCUCGUUGGGUUUUCCGGGAAAUUCGAUCAUCCUUCAAGGUAAUCCUUUCUUUCAUCCUUUCCCGCCUGUGCAUCAUUGGCCUCUGUAACCAAGAGUUUCGUUGCUUGUUUUUUGCUUUCACGUCAUUUUCUUGUUCAUGCGUUGUUCAUUCAAAUUUGGGCUCCAUACUUCGAGUCCUGUGUUAUGAUGAGUCUUGAAUUCUUUUUGUGUAGAAGAUUCUCCAUGUUUUUAGUUGGUAGCAAACCCAGUAGAUGACAGGAUUUUUCUCUUCAAAUCUGCAUGACUUUUAUUCUGUUUUUCUUGCGUUCUUUGUCUGGAAUUAAGAGAUGACAAAGAAGCUCACUGAUUUGGGUUUCCUUGUUAAGGACUUAUGAAUAAAAGGUGUUUGCUUGCUUCCAUUCGUGAACCUGGAGAGAUGUUCGCUGAGUGUGUUCAGUUUUUUUUUGCCCGUUUUUUGACCACAAAGCUAUGGUUUGGGCCUUAGGUUCUUAUCUGGCGAGUUUAUUUGGAAGUUUCGGUAGGAGGUUUAAAGUAUUUUUGUUUGUGUUUUGAUAAGCUGCAUUUUUGCAGCAGUAGGUUGUCGAAUUAGUUCCUUAGCACUUGCGUAGGAAACUCGAUGGAAGUUUAGACCUUUUUGGCAUAUAUGGCUGCUGUUCAUUUUAGUUUCUGUUUGUUUUAAUGCUUUGAAAACAGUUUUCGAUAUCUUAAGAUCACUCACAAGGUUUGAAAAUUGUCUGAUGAGCCUGUUUGUCGGACUUCAGAAUGCUUAGAGUUGCGCAUAAAAUUUGCUGCAACAAGCUGAAAGCCUUUGGCUUGUUGCAGCGGCAUGGAUCAAAUUCUGUUUUCCUCUUUCGCUGGUUUAAGUUUUGAAGCUUACGAUUUCCUUGGUCUUUGGCUAAGUGUGUCCUGGACAUGUUUGCUGCGAGUUUAUAUUUUUCUCUGUUGUAGUUUUACAUUCUGUUGCAUCAUGAAGUGUCGGAUACCUGUAAUGUCUUCUUGUUGCAUGUUUUUCUUUAGUGUUUCAGGUUGUAUUUCUCCACUUUCUUUUGAUAUUAGUCAAUUCAAAUGCUUUGCCACAAUUUUGCAAUAUGGAUUCGUGUCUCAUGUAGUCGAUAGCUGAUAGGUGAGGUCUUAGUAUUAGAUGAAUCUGGUCUGCAUGAUGAAAUGGAAAGAAAAGCCGCGGCUGAAAACUUGCAGCAAACUUGGAAGCAAAAGAAAGCAUGUUUCAUUUUUAGUUGCAGAAGUUUAAGUCUCACGUAACUUGCAUGGAUUUGCAUGAAAUAAUUCUUUGAAAAUUACACUUUGGCCCCAAGUCUCCCUUUGUUUUACUAUGGCCCAAGUAAUUGAAAAAUCCAUCAAAUCGACCCUUCAAUUUUCUUUUUUCCUUUCAAUUAGGCCCCAACUUUGCGAACAUGGAUGUUUAAGUUGUUUAAAUGCUUUAAUACUUAUGUGAUUAUUUGUGAUUACUUGACCUUUUCUUGCUCCUGGACCUUUAGAGUUCCUAAAAUGUUUCAAUUGGCCUUGAUUGAUUGAUUAAUGGUUGCUAUUGGGUCUUUAGUCAUUUUGAUAUUUUAGAAAUUUGAUCAAUGAUUCACUUUUGCUUGGAAAUUAUGCAUUAUUUGAUCAUUUUUAAGUUACAAUUGAAGAAGGAUUCGAUAAUUUUGUGGAUUCAAAUUGGCUUAUUUACAUUUUUUCACUAAAUUGGUGCAUUAAUUCUUUGUUUUGAUGAUUUUUAGCCCAAGUUAUCCCUUUCUUUGGUGACUUUAACCCAAGUUAAGUCGUGUUUACUUUACUAACAUCAUAAACGGGGAGGUAUAAUUUCUUUUAUCCCUUUUUGUCUCUCUCCUAUGUGAUUCAACGUGCUAAGUGAGAAUUGCAUGUCUACUUUGCUUUCCUUGCCUUUCUUUAAUUUCUUUCAUUUAUUUCAUUUACUUUUACUUUUAUUAAGUUAUUCUUUUAUGGGGUAUGUGUACACCUCUUGGCUUGUAAUAGAUAGGGCUUGGAGAGCAAUUUUAUCCAUUUUUCCCCUUCCCCUUAUUUUUUAGUUAGCAAAUGUAAUAGGUUCAUUACUUGCUUUUGUUGCUAUGUGUUAAUUUGCUUUAUUAGGCUCUUGCAUUUAGUCGAGCAUGCUAAGUGUUAUGUGCUACGUGUUUAUAGAUGAUUUGUAUGUCUACUUGCUUUCUAUAGUCGUAGAUGAAUAUGAUGGAUGAAUGUACGUCACCACACUAGUCCAACGCUAGUUAUGGCUCAUUGUCCCAUUUUCCACUAGUCCAACGCUAGUAGGAAUUCAUAGAAAGGGCUAGUCCAAUGCUAGACCCAAUAGGCCGUCCCCUCUCGUUAGUACAUACUUGCAUGUUUCACUACAUUUCAUACAUUUUUCUUAGUUUUUUUUUUAGCAUUUGGCAUGCCCCUCCAACCUUUUCCCUUUCAUUUUAGGUUUUUGCAUCCUCAUGCUAGUUAUAGGGUACAUUUGCUUGAGAGUCCCCUUUUGGUAAGGGAAACGAGCGAGUGUGGCUACAAAAUAGCUUUAGCACGCUAGUUCUUCCUUCUAAUCAAAGGGAAAAUUAAAAUCGUGAAGUUAGAAGUCAUUCCCGUACCCGACUUGAUGUAUUCCUCUAGGUUCAUAUACUCUCAUUUUUAUCAUAUCACUUCCUCACUUUUUUAUCCACAUUUUCUCACUACUUAUAUUUUUUCUCAAUCCACAUGCCAUGUUCGCACAUUUUUCUUCUUUUCCUAUCACUUACUUAUUUUUCUAUCUCACAAAUUGCACCCAAUUGCACUUAUAUAUUUACUACCAUUAUACCUUAUUUUCAUCCACUUGCACACAAAUACCUUUAUUUUCUCCAUUGGCACACAUGCACUUUCCUUACACACAUGCACUUUUCUUACAUUUGCACACUUGCACUUACAUUUGUUUUUAUUUUACUUGCUUUUGCACACUUACACUCAUACUUGAGUCUUCAUUUGCAUUAUUCAUGACCUCUAUGAGGGCUUUCCUUACUGGCCAUCACAAUUCAUGUGGUUGGGACCAAAAAAUCUCAUAAGAGACAUUUUAGAUUUAGGAUUGCAUCUUUUUCAUAUCCAUUAGUUACAUCCAACAUGCAACGCAUAUUUUGGGUAGAAGAAUUAGGAAAAGUGGGGCUAAGUCACGCAACUAGCUUUGGCUAGGGUAAGAGAGUGCCUUAGGCUUUGCCUUUGCCUUCUCCCGUAUCAAAUGUGACCCCCGAUCAUUUUCUUUGGUUACGUAGAUCUAAAAUUCUUUAAAAAGGGUUUGUUUACUUUUCUUUCCAAAAAUAAAAAUCAUUUUUUGGGUGACUUGGUACACCCUAACUCUAUACCAAGUGGCGACUCCAUUUUCCAUUCAAAAAACCCUUUUUGAACUUUAUUUGGCCAAACCGUCGCAUUUCACAAUCCCACGGCCUUUUAUUUUUACUCUCACACAUAUAUCCCACACACUACUUCACACCUUCAAAACGUGGGGCGCAACAGUUUGGCGACUCCACUGGGGAUUUCCUAAAUGGGUCUGAGCAUUUGAUCUAGCCAUUCUUUUCCGUUUUCUACCCUUUUUAUGCAUAGCAUUUGGAUAUUAGGGUUGCAUUUUUCAUUUUUAGAACCUUUUGCCUCGCGCGCAUAUCAAACUACCUCCUCACUCACGUAUGUAUGAUUUGGUUGUUUGGAUGUAUGUUUUAGUUGUCUUAUCUCGCGCUUUGCAUUGCAUUUGGGUGGGGGACAUCACCUUAGAGUCUCGCGUUGGUUUUCGAUCCCUCCCCUCCAAACGAGCACUAGCAUACGUGCAUAUGCUUUAUUUUUAUCCCUCAUUUAUUUUUCUUUUAGUGGCUUGUCACGCCACUCCACCCUAUUAGGAUUAGGUGACCUACUUGGACAUGUGAUCGUGACACGACGUGUGCGUAGCAUGAUUCGAGGGGUCACUCAAUCUUCCGCUUUAAAUUUUGGGUUGAUAGCCUUUAGUUUUUAGUCGAAGGUUGAGGAUUAUUUUUAGAUUCACCCAGAUAUGUAGCCGUGACACGACGUGUGCGUAGCAAUGUCUGGGGAAUCGCUCGAGCCACCGACAAGGAACCUUGGGAGUGAUGACCUUUGGUUUCCAAGUCUGAAGGCUCGGGGACCUAAGUUUAUCGAGUCUAGAUGCAUUAGUGAACCCCAACCUCAUGCAUCCAUAUUAGAAUUGCUUAGGAUAGAGUCGACCUUAUCCUAAAUUAGGAACACUAUUCACGAGGGGAGGGGUCCUACCCCUUUUUCCUUAUUUAUCUUUGUUGCUUUUUAUAUUAUCUAAAUUGUCCAACGUGUUAUGUGAUUAUGUGUUGAACUAACUUUCCUUGUCUCUUGUCUUUUGCAUUCACAAAUGUUAGGAAAUAAGAAGUCUGGCAUGAUCCUCUUUUAGGACCUACCCUUAUCAAUAGGUUAUUGCACGUUUAAAAAUUCUGGUAUAUUUAUAAAUUAAUGGCAUAUCAUUUUAGGCCUACCCUGACAUACAAAGGGUCCCUUUAGGUCAUAAUAUAAUUGCAUGUUUUAUCACUUUAAUAAACUGGCAUCAUGCAUAAACUCUAGAAGGGAAUGCCAUUUAGGGAUCCUGUGUUAGGAAUAAACCACUUCGUGUCUCGGAUACUUAAUCCAAAGAGACUUGCACGUUUACAUUUUGUACCAUCCAAAGGGGUAGUGCACAAGGUAAGGUAGGAUCCGAUCUUUUCGAAAAUGGUAAAGUAAUUUUUGCACAUUGGAAUACGAGCGUCUAAUAAUCACUUUUGGCCAUUUUGUCAACAUUGGUAAAAAUCCCUUGCGUAAAGGACAUUAAUUCGAAGAACUUCACAAAUAAUUCCUCACUAUUGAGAUGAUAAAUGAAUUGAGGCCAAAAUUUGAUAUUAGAAGGCUCAUAGAUUAAUGCAUCGCAAUAAAUUUUUGAAAAUUACCAAUGGGUGGACAAUUCAACCCAUUUUUGAAUUUCCAUCAAUUCAUUUGACCAAUCUGGUCAUUUUUGAAUAAAUAAUCAAAUUUCAUUUAAUACAUUUGACCAUUUUACCCUUUUUAAGGUAAUCUGGUCGAUUUUUGAAUAAAUCAUCAAUUUCAGCCUUUUCAUUUGACUUGUUUAUUUCUUUUUAGGGUUUAAAUCUAAGGUUCAUUGAAUAAAUUAGUCGAGACAUUGCAAUCCUUUCAAAAGCAGGCUCUUUUGCACAUCAUGCGUCAAUCAAAGUAAGUAAUCCAUUUGGAACGUAGUCCUCAUUUUUAGGGCAAAUGUCUCUUCACUCCGAUUGACCAAAUUUUUCAAAUCAUUUUUUUUCACUCAAUCAGUUGAUCGGAUUCAUCAAGGUAUGGUAUAGUGCCUACCUCAGAGGAUUGCAUUCUCAUGUUAGGCCUACCCUUGGCACUAAAAGGGUCCCCCAAUAGGACAUGCAUCCAAAUUACUUUAAUUAUUACUAACUCCUGUCUUUUUCUUUUCCUUUUUCUUUUUUGACAACAGUCAAUCAAGAAGGGCAUCUAAUAGGGGUUUUCCUACGUUCUCAGGUAGUAAUUACAAAUAUUGCUACAUGAAGAAGCCCCAUUAUUACCCGAUCACAUAGCCGAGCUUCAAGAGAUAGUGUAAACAUGAGUACCCAUCCCGAAUCAUCUGAUAGGCCUGCAACAACAUCAGCGACUAACUUAGCAAAUCUGGGAGCUCAACUGAGCGAAGUUCUAAACCGAUUUAAUGAACUAAGCAUUGAAAUGAUGGCCCAACGGCGCGUGAUCGACCAAUUGGUCACUGGGGGUGCUAGCGGUGAGCAACAACACGAACCCUUACCCCCCGGCCAAUCUGAACCAAUACUCUUACCUUAUACUCAAGCCUCUGUUACUUCACAAGUCAUAAACCCAUCGGAGGAAGCUUUUACUUAUCCCACUCAUGGCCCACAACCUACUUAUGUACCUCACAUCCAAAUUAACCCUUCUCAUGCCCAAAUCCCCCAGAAUUAUCCGCCAAUCACUAUGAGCAUGCCAUUUGAACCUCAAGGACCACAUUAUUACUCCACCGCUGAGCCAUUCACCUUAGAUACCGCCGCCCAAGGGAAGGCUGAAGCUGGGGAAUCAUCCGCACCGGUUGAUAAGAAUUUGCUAAAAAGAUUGGAUAAGUUUGAGGAGUUCAUAAGGAAAAAUCAAGGUCUGAGCAAACAAGGAAGUCUAGACUACAACGAUCUGUGCCUAUUUCCGGAUAUGCAAUUGCCAAUGGGUUUCAAAGCGCCCAAAUUUAGCAAGUACGAUGGAACUGGCAAUCCCAAAACACACCUUCGGAUGUUCGCAAACAAACUUGGAAAGCCGAUAGAUGAUGAGAAUUUACCUGUACGUUUAUUUCCCGAGAGCCUAGAAGGCGACGCGUUGGAUUGGUAUUCCAAUUUGAAGCCUGAGGAUAUGAGAUCUUGGAUGGAUUUGUCAACUGCUUUUAUGAGGCAGUACAAAUACAAUUGCGAGCUUGCUCCAACGAGGGCCACACUUGAGGGGACUAAAAGAAAACCAUCUGAGGACCACAAGACGUACGCGAAGAGAUGGAGGAAAUUGGCCGCCAAGGUCGAGCCUCCUAUGACUGAAAACGAGAUUGUUCGCACGUUCAUCAAAGCUCAUGACCCGCCUUACUUUGAGAAGAUUUUUCGAAUGACCGGGUGUUCCUUUGCCGAAAUUGUCAAUAAAUUGGAAGAAUUUGAUGAGUUUGUGAAGGCCGGAAAAAUUGUUAGUGUGUCAACAUUGAAGAUGCAACUAGAGACUCUGCAAGGCCAGAAUGACAGUGGGAAAAAAUCCCAAUCUAAGGGAAAAGAAGAGGAAACUGCUUUUGUUGGGGAUCAGGGCCCCUCGGCCAGACCUAGAUUUUCAAACCGCCUUGCUUAUUCAUCACCCUAUCCAUACUACCCAAACUCCCGUCCUAUCCACCAUACUACCAUUAACCAUUCUCGACCUCGACCAAAUUAUCCAAAUGUACUCACACCACCCUUUCAAAAUCCUCAACCAAAUCUCCAAACUAGACCUCGCCCUUCUUUUAACCCAAGACCUAUUCCACCCCCUAGCCCAAAUUACUACUACCAACAAAUCAGUGACACCCAAAAUUCAACGUCACACCGAACCUUCACCAAUCUAAGUCGGCCUGUUGACCAAUUAUAUGAGCAAUUGAAAGCUGUCGGGAAAAUUGGUGUUAUACCUCCUAAGAUCUAUUCUAAGCGCUUUCCUUCUGACUAUGACCCUCAAGCAGUCUGCGCUUAUCAUUCUGGAGCUCCCGAGCAUUCCACCAAUGAUUGUCGGGCAUUGAAACAUGAAAUCCAGGAUAUGAUCGAAUUCGGAGAAAUAGUGCUAAGGAAAAAGGGUGAACAGGGACAGAGCAUAAGUACAAAUCCCUUUCCCGAACACAAGGACGCCUUUGAGGCAUCCACCCCCAAUGAAGAAAUUUGAGAAUCCUGGAAGGGGCUGAAUUAGUGAGAUUCCUCUCCCUUGAAGGGAGUUUCGAUAAAUUUGGGGAGUUGUUUUGGUUAAAACCAAUGAAAAUCGUUCAUACACGUGUCUUUUGUUUAACUAUGUUUUUUGUAAAUAGUUUUCAAUCAAGUGACUGCUAAAGACACGUUUCAUGAAUAUUAAGUUUGGUUUUUGUCUGAAAAUUCAAUAAAAUGUACAGUUUUAUAAAUUGUGACUUACACAUUCUUUUCAGAUGGCCAAGAAUAAAAUCGUCUGACCCUUUGGAUAUCACUGUUCAGAAAUUUGAUGGCAGCGAUCUCACGAAUGUGAAUUUGAAUUUCAAAAUGAAAGGAGUAGGGGAAGAGACAUUCAAAAAUGUUUCAAAGAAGCCUGAAUGGAGUAAAAGAAGUUCAAGCAGAAUCAGGAUCGAGAUUAGGAAUAAGAAGCAGUUAAACACUGUCCAUCAUGGUCAAUAUGAUCGAAAGGAUUGGUCUAUGAUUACGCUUAAAGGGUCAAAUCAGGAUCAUUCAGACGAGAAGGCAAAGCAUUAAGGUGGUUUUCGUCAGUACAAAAUGAAGCCAAAAGGAGAGUUUGCCGCGAAUUGGUAAGGUGCUCUUAUCAUCAAAAAGGUAUCGCCUGAUGGAGCACUUGUUCCCUCAAUCAAUCAAUUCGGAGAUGUGUAAGAAAUUUUCAUCUGAUAAAUGAAAGUUUUCUUUUAGAGUUAAUGCGAAGAAUGGAAUGAAAGUCAGGCUCUCUUCUUUUUCCAUUAAGACAUUAUAUUCCUAGUUAUCCCUUUUGAGCCUUCAGAAUAGAUCAUUUCGUUUGGCAACCUCUGAGAAUCGCAAAUCCCACACUGGGGCAAAUUUAGUUUUGAAAGAAGAGAAAAAGAGAGAAAACCCCACACUGGGGUAAAUUCAAUUUUUUAAGGAAAGUCGAAAGUAAAGGAAAUGAACAAAAGAAAGCUUCAAUUAAAAAUAAACUGGAGCAAAUUUUUAAAAAGUUGAAAGAUGAAUGAAAAAGGAAGAAAAUGAAAGAAAAGAGAACCUCAUUUGAGAAUAAAUUGGGGCAAAUUUUGAUUUAACCCUAAAAUAGGGUUAACAUGGAAAUGCGAUCUCAGAUCAUUUAAACCACUUUUUGAAGUCUGCCUUCAAGCCUUAACCUUUCCUAGCACCUCACCCGACCCCAUUACAAAAGCCAAAAAGUCCUGGCUUCCAUUCUUGGCAUCACCUCUUUUAAAGAAAUUUUCUAAGUCACAUGGUAAAUGAUGUCAAUACGCCUUCACUCAUGUUGUAAAGGAAGGGGUUGUCGCAUUGAUGCCAUUAUUUCUUAAAACACAUUUUUGAGUUGAUAAAGGCUAUUGGCAAGAUUUGUUCAUCAGGUGAAAAUUCGAAAAGGGCACCUUUGAAAAGAAAAGGAAAAAGAAAAGAAGAAAAGAAAAAAAAAACAACAACAACAACAACAAAACAAAACAAAAUGAAGAAAAAAAGAGCCAAAAGGGGGAGUAGCCUUAGUGAAAACUUGAAAGGGCGCUAAGGUAGAGUUUCAUGAGGAAAAGUGAGGGUGGAAUUAGAAACCUGGUGAUUCGAUUCAUUUGGGAUUCCUCCUCACAUUGUGGUUCUUCUGUUGCCGACAUUGAACUCAGGGCGGAUGAUAUCUAAAGGGUCAAGCGUGGCAUUUUGUUUAAAGUCGGAAUACUUUGGCUUUUCAAGCAUAAAUUGUCGAAUUUAUAGAUUCAUUUCUUUAAAAUUAAUUUUCUUUCAAUAAAAAAUAAAUGAUUGUUUUCAUGUUACAGAAAUUUUCAUCAUCUGUUGUGUAAAUAGAAUAUUCUUUCAUCAGUUUCAUAGUCUUAUUUAUCUCUUUAGGUUCAUCAGAUGGCAAUCCCCCUGAUUUAUUGAAAAUCCCUGGAUACCAAGGGCCUUAUUAGCAUUGGAAGUCAAUGGAAUUUGAUCAGAUCACAGAGCAUAGUUGAGUUUUCGAAGUAUCAAGGGGAAAACAUCAAAGUACUCAUGUUUACACAUUUCUUCAAGGAGGAAUUGAUCGAAUGAUGGUGGCAUUACUUGUUCUUUCUUUUACAGGUUCAUACGCGUUUCAAAGGACGAAACUGGGGCAACUUUUUGAACUGAGGAACGUCGCCCAAGAAUUCUUAUAUGACUGAGGGAUUCGGACCAAAGAAGAAGUGAAUCAAAGUUUGAGCAACCCUGCCAUAAUGCAAAUCAAAUGAUCGGUUGCACAAUAAGUGGUGGAGACUGAGGCUAAAAAAAAAAAAAUCUUGAAAAGUUUCUCCCGAACGAAAAGGAAAAAACGGGAAACAUAAAAAAUCAUUUUCAAUAUCAGAUUUUAAAUUCUUGUUGGCGAAUUUCAACUUCCGCUGCGCACCCUUCUAUCUCCCCCUCUUGACAAUCACGCUUAAUUUCUUGACAAAUUGAAUGGCGAGAUUGGAUCUUAUCCUACUGAUCCCAAAUAUCACGUUGGGCCUGGAUUUCGUGCCGCCAACAUUUCCAAAGAUCACGUUGGGCCUGGAUUUCGUGCCGCCAACAUUCCAACAUCACGUUGGGCCUGGAUUUCGUGCCGCCAACAUUCCAAAGAUCACGUUGGGCCUGAAUUUCGUGCCGCCGCCGACAUUCCAAAUAUCACGUUGGGCCUGGAUUUCGUGCCGCCAGCAUUCCAAAUAUCACGUUGGGCCUGGAUUUCGUGCCGCCGACAUUCCAACAUCACGUUGGGCCUGGAUUUCAUGCCGCCGACAUUCCAAAUAUCACGUUGGGCCUGGACUUUGUGCCGCCAACAUUCCAAAUAUCACGUUGGGCCUGAAUUUUGUGCCGCCAACUUCACAAAUGUCACAUUGGGUCUGGAUUUUAUGCCGCCAACAUCACCAACAUCAUGUUGGGUUUGGAUUUUGUACCCCCAAUUAAGGCAGGAUCGGGUUUAAUCCCACUGACCAAUUCAUCACACUGGGACAAGUCUUUGGAUAAUUUUUGAGCAAGUCUUAUACAGUUUCUUCAUACAUAUCAGCAUUUCUUUUAUUUUGCCACUAAACAUGGAUUAGUCCCACUAGUGAGCACUUAAAUUUUGUUCGGGUCAGUCCCAUGAUUUAAAUUUUGUUCGGGCCAGUCCCAUGAUUUAAAUUUUGUUCGGAUCAGUCCCGUUUUAAAUUCCUGUUCGGGUCAGUCCCGUUUUAAUUUCCUGUUCGGGCCAGUCCCGUUUUAAAAUUCCUGUUCGGGUCAGUCCCGUUUUAAAUUUCUUGUUCGGGUUAGUCCCGUUGUAAAUUCCAGUUCGUUGGAAUCAUUUUGCGGCCAAAUAACACAGGUAAGUAUUUGGUGUCUACUUCUGUGUCUCAAGUUUUUUCAAAACUCAAACAAAGAGGGGCAAACUGUAGACACCAAAUUUUAGCUUAUUCAUUUUUUGUUUUAGUAAUAACUAUUAUCUAUUUUUUGUUUUAAGGCACCUUUUAGCAUUUUAUAGCAUUUUAGAUUAUUAUUAUCUAUUAUUUUAUUUUUAAUUUUUAUUUCGUAUUAGUUUUGCCCUCUUGACCAUUUAUCUUUAUUUUUAUUAAGAUUUUUUAGCAUAAAAUUUGUCAAAAAGAGAAAAUUAUUCUUUAAAAAUAUGUUUUGUUUCCUUUUACUAUUUAUUGAUUAAAAACAAAGGGAAAAGUGAGCCGCACAUUGCAGCGCAUGAAUAUCAUUUUCAGGAAGAAAAUAGGGCUAAGGGAUCGGAUGGCUGAAAUAUUGGUUGGAAGCCCACCCUUCAUCCUCACCUUUGAGGUGAGGGUUUAGGGGUUGGAAGUUCCUAUAAAAAGGAAAGAAACAGCCGAGAGAGAGGGGAGGGGUUUUGGAAAUGACGGCUGAGAUAUUGGAGAGAGGACUGGGGUCGUGAGAGGACGGCAAAAAGAAAGAAACCAGAAGAUUUUUGUGACGGCUGAAGUGAGAGUAGGAAAGGGGAGAGAGCCCGUGACAACUGAAAAUCUAAAGCGGAAAAAGAAGGAAAAGAUAUAGAGUGAGCUUGGGAGGCAACGGCGGAGAAAAGCCAGAAAAACUGGUUGGCAGCUGAAGGGGGCGGCUGAAGAAAGAAUUCCGGAAAGAAAAAGAGAGGCGGUGGAUGAAAAAGAACGGGGUUUGACAGAUCUACAUACUUUCACUGGCGGUUUCUUUCAUCAAGGUUGCAUCAGAUCUCGUUGGGUUUUUCGGGAAAUUCGAUCAUCCUUCAAGGUAAUCCUUUCUUUCAUCCUUUCCCACCUGUGCAUCAUUGGCCUCUGUAACCAAGAGUUUCGUUCCUUGUUUUUUGCUUUCACGUCAUUUUCUUGUUCAUGCGUUGUUCAUUCAAAUUUGGGCUCCAUACUUCGGGUCCUGUGUUAUGAUGAGUCUUGAAUUCUUUUUGUGUAGAAGAUUCUCCAUGUUUUUAGUUGGUAGCAAACCCAGUAGAUGACAGGAUUUUUCUCUUCAAAUCUGCAUGACUUUUAUUCUCUUUUUCUUGCGUUCUUUGUCUGGAAUUAAGAGAUGACAAAGAAGCUCACUGAUUUGGGUUUCCUUGUUAAGGACUUAUGAAUAAAAGGUGUUUGCUUGCUUCCAUUCGUGAACCUGGAGAGAUGUUCGCUGAGUGUGUUCAGUUUUUUUUUUUGCCUGUUUUUUGACCACAAAGCUAUGGUUUGGGCCUUAGGUUCUUAUCUGGUGAGUUUAUUUGGAAGUUUCGGUAGGAGGUUUAAAGUAUUUUUGUUUGUGUUUUGAUAAGCUGCAUUUUUGCAGCAGUAGGUUGUCGAAUUAGUUCCUUGGCACUUGCGUAGGAAACUCGAUGGAAGUUUAGACCUUUUUGGCAUAUAUGGCUGCUGUUCAUUUUAGUUUCCGUUUGUUUUAAUGCUUUGAAAACAGUUUUCGAUGUCUUAAUAUCACUCACAAGGUUUGGAAAUUGUCUGAUGAGCCUGUUUGUCGGACUUCAGAAUGCUUAGAGUUGCGCAUAAAAUUUGCUUCAACAAACUGAAAGCCUUUGGCUUGUUGCAGCGGCAUGGAUCAAAUUCUGUUUUCCUCUUUCGCUGGUUUAAGUUUUGAAGCUUACGAUUUCCUUGGUCUUUGGCUAAGUGUGUCCUGGACAUGUUUGCUGCGAGUUUAUAUUUUUCUCUGUUGUAGUUUUACAUUCUGUUGCAUCAUGAAGUGUCGGAUACCUGUAAUGUCUUCUUGUUGCAUGUUUUUCUUUAGUGUUUCAGGUUGUAUUUCUCCACUUUCUUUUGAUAUUAGUCAAUUCAAAUGCUUUGCCACAAUUUUGCAAUAUGGAUUCGUGUCUCAUGUAGUCGAUAGCUGAUAGGUGAGGUCUUAGUAUUAGAUGAAUCUGGUCUGCAUGAUGAAAUGGAAAGAAAAGCCGCGGCUGAAAACUUGCAGCAAACUUGGAAGCAAAAGAAAGCAUGUUUCAUUUUUAGUUGCAGAAGUUUAAGUCUCACGUAGCUUGCAUGGAUUUGCAUGAAAUAAUUCUCUAAAAAUUGCACUUUGGCCCCAAGUCUCCCUUUGUUUUACUAUGGCCCAAGUAAUUGAAAAAUUCAUCAAAUCGACCCUUCAAUUUUCUUUUUUCCUUUCAAUUAGGCCCCAGCUUUGCGAACAUGGAUGUUUAAGUUGUUUAAAUGCUUUAAUACUUAUGUGAUUAUUUGUGAUUACUUGACCUUUUCUUGCUCCUGGACCUUUAGAGUUCCUAAAAUGUUUCAAUUGGCCUUGAUUGAUUGAUUAAUGGUUGCUAUUGGGUCUUUAGUCAUUUUGAUAUUUUAGAAAUUUGAUCAAUGAUUCACUUUUGCUUGAAAAUUAUGCAUUAUUUGAUCAUUUUUAAGUUACAAUUGAAGAAGGAUUCGAUGAUUUUGUAGAUUCAAAUUGGCUUAUUUACAUUUUUCCACUAAAUUGGUGCAUUAAUUCUUUGUUUUGAUGAUUUUUAGCCCAAGUUAUCCCUUUCUUUGGUGACUUUAGCCCAAGUUAAGUCGUGUUUACUUUACUAACAUCAUAAACGGGGAGGUAUAAUUUCUUUUAUCCCUUUUUGUCUCUCUCCUAUGUGAUUCAACGUGUUAAGUGAGAAUUGCAUGUCUACUUUGCUUUCCUUGCCUUUCUUUAAUUCCUUUAAUUCCUUUCAUUUACUUUUGCUUUUAUUAAGUUAUUCUUUUAUGGGGUAUGUGUACACCUCUUGGCUUGUAAUAGAUAGGGCUUGGAGAGCAAUUUUGUCCAUUUUUCCCCUUCCCUUUUUAUUUUAGUUAGCAAAUGUAAUAGGUUCAUUGCUUGCUUUUAUUGUUAUGUGUUAAUUUGCUUUAUUAGACUCUUGCAUUUAGUCGAGCAUGCUAAGUGUUAUGUGCUACGUGUUUAUAGAUGAUUUGUAUGUCUACUUGCUUUCUAUAGUCGUAGAUGAAUAUGAUGGAUGAAUGUACGUCACCACACUAGUCCAACGCUAGUUGUGGCUCAUUGUCCCGUUUUUCACUAGUCCAACGCUAGUAGAAAUUCAUAGAAAGGGCUAGUCCAAUGCUAGACCCAAUAGGCCGUCCCCUCUCGUUAGUACGUACUUGCAUGUUUCACUACAUUUCAUACAUUUCUCUUAGUUUUUUUUUUAGCAUUUGGCAUGCCCCUCCAACCCUUUCCCUUUCAUUUUAGGUUUUUGCAUUCUCAUGCUAGUUAUAGGGUACAUUUCCUUGAGAGUCCCUUUUUGGUAAGGGAAACGAGUGAGUGUGGCUACAAAAUAGCCUUAGCACGCUAAUUCUUCCUUCUAAUCAAAGGGAAAAUUAAAAUCGUGAAAUUAGGAGUCAUUCCCGUACCCGACUUGAUGCAUUCCUCUAGGUUUAUACACUCUCAUUUUUAUCAUAUCACUUCCUCACUUUCUUAUCCACAUUUUCUCACUACUUAUAUUUUUUCUCAAUCCACAUGCCAUGUUCGCACAUUUUUCUUCUUUUCCUAUCACUUACUUAUUUUUCUACCUCACAAAUUGUACCCAAUUGGACUUAUAUAUUUACUACCAUUAUACCUUAUUUUCAUCCACUUGCACACAAAUAUCUUUAUUUUCUCCAUUGGCACACAUGCACUUUCCUUACACACAUGCACUUUUCUUACAUUUGCACACUUGCACUUACAUUUGUUUUUAUUUUACUUGCAUUUGCACACUUACACUCAUACUUGAGUCUUCAUUUGCAUUAUUCAUGACUUCUAUGAGAGUUUUCCUUACUGGCCAUCACAAUUCAUGUGGUUGGAACCAAAAAGCCUCAUAAGAGACAUUUUAGAUUUAGGAUUGCAUCUUUUUCAUAUCCAUUAGUUACAUCCAACAUGCAACGCAUAUUUUGGGUAGAAGAAUUAGGAAAAGUGGGGCUAAGUCAUGCAACUAGCUUUGGCUAGGGUAAGGGAGUGCCUUAGGCUUUGCCUUUGCCUUCUCCCUUAUCAAAUGUGACCACCCGAUCCUUUUCUUUGGUUACGUAGAUCUAAAAUUCUUUAAAAAGUGUUUGUUUACUUUUCUUUCCAAAAACAAAAAUCAUUUUUUGGGUGACUUUGUACACCCUAACUCUAUACCAAGUGGUGACUCCAUUUUCCAUUCAAAAAAACCCUUUUUGAACUUUAUUUGGCCAAACCGUCGCAUUUCACAAUCCCACGGCCUUUUAUUUUUACUCUCACACAUAUAUCCCACACACUGCUUCACACCUUCAAAAAGUGGGGCGCGACAACGUGAUUUGAUCCCUAAUGAUAAAUAUCAAAUUUUAGUGCUUUUUUUAAUGUGUGGGUUGGGAUUAAAUUAAUUAAGUAAUUUAAUAGAUAAAUGGCAAUGAUGGAAUCAUAUUAUCUUCUCUUUUCUAAUAUCACUUUUUAAUUAUCGAUUGGAAUUAAAUGUUGCAAAAUAAUUAAUCUUAAGGGAGUAAUUUUCGAAAUCUAGAGGGAGGUCGGUGAAAUAGUCAAAAACCUCAAGGGAGGUUUUGAAAUUAUCCCUAGAUUUAAAUGAUAUUUAAUGGUCAACAACUAACAUUUUUUUCAAUUUUGAUUUUGUAAUUUAAUUUUGAUAUUUGCUUCAAUGCAUUGAUUUUACAAUGAAUGUUAAGCAAAUUAUUUGAUGCUAACAGGGGUAAGGCCCACAAAAUAAGAAUGUUCAAUGUUCAUUCCUUGGCCUAAUUGGUGACUUGAUGUUAUAGGGGCAGAUCAUGAUACCAAAUUUGUAACUGGAAGGGAGGUAAAAGUAAUUUUUCUUUUGUAUUUGCAGAUUCUAAUUGAAAUUGUGAUGUGGAUACCUAGGGAUUAUUUUUUUUGUCAUGUGGAUACCUAGGGAAAUUGUCUGUGGUAAAAGUAAAUUUUUUUUUUUGUAUUUGCAGAUUCUAAUUGAAAUUGUCAUGUGGAUACCUAGGGAUUAUUUGUGAAAUUAUAACAACAUAUAAGAGGAAGAUAUUAUACUUUUGUUAAAUCUAGGGUAAAUGAGCCUAAUAACCUAGUUUUUUUUGAUUUUUUUUUUUUUUUUUUUUAGGUGUGUCCCGCAGGGAGUGUACCCGCAGACUAUUCACCACCCUCAGCAACUUGCUGGCAGCAAGGUUCGAACCAGAGCCUAAUAACCUAGUGUCUAAGCUUGUUUGAUUUAUUUAAUGAAUUUAAAAUUUUGUUCAAACUUGACUUAUUUAUUUUGCUCAAUUCAGCAUUUUUCAAGUUGUCAACAUUUUUCAAGUAUUAACAAAUAAUAAAGCCAAAUAAUAGAAAUAGAAAACAUCAUAGAAACUUCUAAUUUAUAAUCAAGAAAAAUAAAAAAGGAAUUGGUGAAUUAUAGAACAAAAUAAAAAAUGUCAAUAUUUUCAUACUAGUAACUUUUAAUAUGCAAGCAAGGAAAAUAAUAAAUUACAAUACAUGAUUGGCAAGAAACCAAAAAACUAUAAGUUGGUUGAUCAAAAUAUAUAAUAAGGCAUAAUAAAUAGAAAUGUAUAUAAGGUGGAAACCAUCAAAUUCAUUGAGUAUUGCUAUAAAUAAGGAAGUGAAAAGGAAGAGAUUAAUUGUUGCCAAAAUUUAGAAUAUUAAUAGAAAAAUAUCCAAAAAUACCAAUAAUUAUAGGUCCAUGUAGUGAGCAAAUAUAUAGUUCUUGGUUGAUCAAAAUAUGUAAUAAGGCAUAAUAAAUAGAAAUCCAAAAAUUCAUUAAGUAUUGUUAUAAAUAAGGAAGUGAAAAGGAAAGGGAUUAAUUAUUGUCAAAAAAAAUAGAAUAGUAAUAGAAAAGUGCCAAAAAAUACAAACAAUUUAUAGGUCUAUGUAGCGAACAAAUAUAUAGUUCAAUGGGAAGAGGUUUAGAGUAGCUAAUCAGCAAAACAAUAUAUACGCAUGUUUUGGCAAAAUAGGAAUUUUUAAACUUUCAAGUUUUUUUGUUGAUAGUUGCACCAAUACAUAUUAACUUGUUAAAAAUUUAUUCAUUAUUUUCUAACUUCAUUGGUGGAAGCAUGCACACUUUCUUAUUAACAGUUGUACUAGUACAUAUUAACUUGUUAAAAAUUCAUUCAUUAUUUCCUAAUUUCAUUGGUGGAAACAUACACUGCAUAAAACUUAGGGUAAAAUAUAACAAACCCCCUGUUGUUAAGAUAACAGGCACGAAACCCCCUUAUCGUUUGAAAAAUCUACUUAACCCUCUUGUGCUUUGGAUUUCUUUGGAUUUUACCUACCAAUGAGCUGGGAAGCUAGCAAGUGAUGUUGACGUGACCUAAAGGUCGCUUGUGACUGAAAGAGACUUAUUUAUGGAAUAAGAUACUACUUUUCAUUCCAAUUUUGCCCUCCAUAUCACUUAUAAAUGAAACCCACCAUAGCUGUGGUUUUGCAAAUCGAAAAAUUGGAAAAAGAGACACAAAACUAAGACAAAAAUCGUAAGAACGCAGCUUUGGAGGGCACAAAAUAGCUUUAUUCAAGGAAGAAGCUAAAAAUGUCAAACUGUCAAAACUUUGGCGGUGGAUCGAGGAACCAAAAGGUACCAAUACAGGCGAUGUUUUGCAAAAAUAAAGCAAAGAUUAAGUUGGUGGAAUCUAAAAAAUAAUCAGAAGAUAUGAUGUACUUUGUAUGUGAAAAUGGUGUUUGUUCAUUUUGGGCAUAGUGUAACCCAAUUAGUAGAGAGGGAUGCACUAAUAAAUAAUCCUACUAAAGUCCAUACAUGGAAGAGGUUUCACCAACUGGAUCUGCAACGCCGAAAAGAUUUUUCAACUCUAGGCAAGGGAUGGAAAGUAUUAAAUAUAACAUCAUUAUGGGACUGCAGUUGAAGAUUCACAGUGUGUAAAGUAAUUAUGGGGCUGAUGAAAAUGAUGAUGAUGGUGUCUUUAGUUGUGUCUUUUUUGUCACUAGUUGUUAUACGUAUGAGAUAAAUGUUUUGGACAAAUAGUAGUGUAGUAAAUUUAUAGUAGAUGAAGAAGUUGGGCACAAUAAUAGAUUUUGUUAUGUCCAACUUGUUUUACAUGUAAUGAAGUACACAUUCUAGUUUCAAGUAAGAAGAAUGAAUGAAGCUGCGUUGUUUUAUUGCAGGCAAACCAAUGCUGUAAUUUCGAUAUUGAAUAAUUACAUGAAAAAAAAAAUUGAAAGACCUAAGAAUUCACUGUAAUAAACUAGUCAAAUUAAACCAUUUUCAGUAAAGAUAUCACCAGCAAUACUACCACAAAUGCCACAAAAAAGCAGCAUAUUGCCACAUCCAUACCAUAAUGGUAUCAAUUUGCCAAAAUAUGGCCAAAAUUUGAGUUUAUUAGUUUCAAUAAAUAUUACAAUCCAAUCACAAAAAGGAUCAAUUUAGUUGGCAUAACCAGUACAUUCAACAAAUAAAAAAGAGAUAAGUGUAGUUCAUUUUCUUGGUCUCUUGGAGCUAGAAUAUCACAGCCUUGACAUACCUGCAGCUGGUUGCUUCCUCUUUAAGGAUAUGUUUUGUUGGCUUCCUUGGUUUCUACCACUUCUAGGCUGCCUUGGUUCCUGCAUAUAAGUGGCAUUGGCUAGUAAGUAAAUAGAUCGCAGCACCCAAAAAUAGGUAAUUGAAAACUCGUACCUGUGAAAGUGUAAUGGCAGUAGCACUUGAGACACUAGCCUAAGCUACAAAAGUUUCGGAUAUUGCAUUUGAAGCUGUUGGACUAGAUUUAGGUGCUUAUAGUUCGCAUCCAAAUGACUGAAUGUAUAAGUAACAACAAAACAAACUAGAAAAUUGGUCUUUUCUGAAAUGUUACAUUACCUUUUAAAGCUUGGACUUAGGGUGAAUUGUUGAUUUGCAAGUUCUUAUGUCCAUAUUUCAAACACCUCCGGCAGUAGACUGCUAGGCCCUUACUGCUUGCUUUCUGCUGAUUUAUAGGCUCUUCUAAACUUUUCUUCCUCUGCUUCUUUGGCCUACCAGGCUAUUUUUUCACAAUUGCUGGGGUCAAAUAUUGCAUUUUACUAUCCACCCAGAACUGCUUUGAAGUAAUAAGACCAAUUGUGAAGUUGUAGGCCCUUAAAUAUGCUUCCCUAUGGUAACAAACAUCAACAUAUUGCUUAAAUUCCAACAUUGUGCUCUAAAAGCAGGCAAUCGUAUGCAUGCUCGAAAUGCCACUGAGUUGAAAAUGACCACAUAUACAUGUCUUCAUCUCCAAAUUGAGAACGUUGGUCCUUCGAUAGCCAUCAACUUCCAAAAUUCCCAUUUCCUCUAUAAACCACGACACAAUUUCUUGCUUUUAUCUUCAAUUUCUCUAACUUCUCAUAAAUGUUUAGACAUAAAGUGCCACCAUAUUUCAGCAUGCCCUCUCGUUUGGUUACCAUCCUUUGCAUUAAUCUCUUCCGAAUCCACUUCAACAAUGUUGUUAUUGGCUCAUCUCUAGCAUUUAGAAUGUAAUUAUUCCAUGACUCACUUAUGUUAUUGAUGUAUGUGUCACUUUUACAAGCUGUACUAAAGUGAGCUCUGGACCAAAGCUUUGGACGCAACCAUUUGAACCAUCCUGCAACUGUUAGCUUGUCACCUUUCUCUGGUUUAGCCUUUUCAAGAUUUGCUAGGGCAAUUUUAUACUCCGGCAUGCUUGUUACUAUAGCAACUACCCAAAACAUGUCUCUAAGAUCUUGAUUUUUGAAUCUUCAUUUAAAGUCCUCGAACACAUGUUUCAGGCAGAAUCUGUGCUCUGAUUCAGGGAAUAGCUUUUCAAUUGCAUAGACAAGACCCUCUUGCCUAUCCGAAAUGAAAGUAUAAGCCAUUCUUUUGUUUCCUCUUCCAAUUUGGAUGAUUAAUUCCCUCAAAAACUAGCUCCACCUAUCAUAGUUCUCUAUCUCAACAACAGUAAAGGAAAUAGGGAACAUGUUUUCAUUGGCAUCCCUACCCAAGGCUAUAAGCAGUUGACUUCCAAAGGGACUCUUAGGAAACAACUAUCUAGUCCUCUUAUAAGUCUACAGCUUUCAAGGAAACCAUUCUUCGGAGCACCUAAUCCAUAGUAUAUCAUCUAAAAUAUAGCUCUUCCUCAAGACUCCUCUUGCCAAUUUGUAGUGAAAUAUGACUAUCAGGAUUGGACUUUUUUACAGUGGCUACAUAAUCUCAAAGCCUGUACUGCUCCAUGUCAUUUCCCCUAAAUGCCUCCAAUUGCUUUCUGCUUCAUUCUGGCUGCCUUAUUCUCACUAAUAUCAAGCAUAACCAGCCUUCUUAUCUUAUUCACUAUACUAGGAAUACUGCACCUAGGAUCAUGUCUCACCUUGGCCUGAAAUUUUUUACUAAGAUAUCUUGAAGUGGCAUGUCUAUUGCUAUAAUCCCUACCAUAGUAGUGCUCUUUCUUGAGAGUUUUGAUCAUAAAAAUGUUUGUUCUCUGGAUUUUGCUUACUUGAAUUCUCCAACUUCACCCCUUUGCACAUUUAGAUAUCAUUCAAAAGUCUUCAUUUCUCAUGUAUUUGUACUUAUGCCCCUCCCUAAUUUCCCACUUUGCAAAAGCCUCCCUAAAUUUAGAGAAGCAAGUAGAUUUCUAUCCAACCUUUAGUUCAAGGUGUUGUUUCCUAAACUCUUCAUAUGCAUUGAAGUAAGCUUAACCAAGGAUGUUUUCAUCAUCAGAUCCUAUCCCUUUAUCAAAUAGGUUUUCAUCAUCCUCUGCUGACUCAUUCCAAUCCUCUUCCUGCUUAUUAGCACAACAUCUAUCAUCCACACCUGAUGUUGAUUGACUCCCCUCUUCAUGACUUUGGUUGUUUGCUUGUUUUCUAGAUUUCACUUGCUAAUUUUGUUGUUCCUGCUCUAAACCAAAUUGUUUUUUGGAUUUGACCUGUUGAUUUUCUUAUUGCUGAUUUGAACUAGCUUGUUUUUAGAUUUGGCUUACUAAUUUUCUUGUCACUGCUCUGAACCAACUCCAACUAAAUUUGCAAAUCUUUGAUUUAUAGAUGCCUAUGUUGAUUCUUGACCAUUUAAGCCUGCAAAUAUGUCAUUAUCUUCAGGCCCUUCUAGUCCUUCCCUUUGCCAAUGAAGAAGAUCUAAAUAGUUUGGUAUGAUAUCAUUUUCUUCUCCAACUUUAUGAGCUCUUUGCUCCCCUAAAAUUGGUUGUUUCUUCUAAUGAAUUUCUUGUGGGAGACUUCUGGACCUCUGUGGUUGUAUCAACUUUUUCCUUCACUUUAAAUGACCUUGUAGCUAACUUUUUUGCAGUUAAUUUUACUCUUUGCGACAAUAAUCUUGAUUGCUUCAAAAAGACCCAUUCCUUUCUACUUUUUGCUUACUUAGGAAUUUUUUAAAAAAUUUUCCCAAUAAAAAUUAUUGACAAAACUUCUGACUAAGCCCAACUUGCCACUUCUUUUACCAAGUUUCAAAAUAUCCCCAACAAUUUACUACCAAAAUGCUUGCUAGUCAAACAAAUCAAGACAAGUAAAUUUAGGGUUCAAAUCCAAGAUUACCUCAUUAAUUGUUAUACUCAAUGCUUCACAACCUCGAUCAAUCUACACAAAAGCACCUUGUUUGUUUGCAAGCUACACACAAAAAUCCUAUACUGUAUCGGUGCUGUGGAAGACAACGGCAAUUGCAGCGGAUCUUGGCUACAUGUUUAGGGUUUCAUCAACUUUCUCUCUCUAGACAUGAAAAUCUGCUAAUUGCAUCUGUACCUUUUGGUGAUAUUAUAAAUGAAGGUAUUUUUUAUAUUUUAUAUUGUUACCGGCUUCCCAAUCAGUUAGCAGAUAAAAUUCAAAGAAGUCCAAAGCAUAAGAGAGUUAAGUGGGUAUUUUUAAACGAUGAGGGAGUUUUGUAUCCAUUACCCUAACCACAGAGGGGUUUACUUUAUUUUACCUAAAACUUAUCAAUCAUUUUUGGAAAAUACCCUUAAACUUAUCAAUCAUUUCAGUUUAGCUUUCAUUUUUGGAAAAUCAAAAUUGAAGUGUGAAAUACUUGGUUUUUUUUUUUUUUAGUAACAAGAAAUACUUGGUUGUAAAUGAUCAAUUGUCUAUAAAGAAAAGUUGACGCAAUAAAGUUUUUCAUGUGCUCAAAUGUUUGUCUAAAAAAAUUUCAAAUGAGCAUUCACAUAUGUUAAAAUAACAUAUCUAUGCUUUCGUUUUGCACUUGCAAUAAUGAUUUCUCUUCAAAGUUUAAUACAACUAUUGUGGACCAUGAAAUUUAAGUGCAUUUACGUUUUAUUAUUUUUUGUGACCUCUAAAUAUUAUAUAUCAAUUGGUAUCUUUUUUAGUUAUAUAAUCUAUCUACGAUUGUAAUUCUUUAAUUUACAAGGAACUAUAUAUAAUUUUCCAAUUUAAAAAAUUCUAAUCAUUUUCAUCCAUUCUCCAACAUACGAAAAAUGAUGGAAAGAUAUAUUCUACUUUCUUUUAAUUAGAAAAUUCAAAAUCAGUCACCCUUUUUUUACAAUUAUUAUCACAUGUUCCUUAUGAGGGCAUCUUUUUAUUCUUUUUCAUUUAUAGGGUUAUUUGUAAUUAAUUCCUUUUCCUACAUGAUACUUGAUCACCAUCGAGGUAAUAUUUGUUCAUAACUUAUCAGAGUAUUAUGGUGGAGUAACAAUUUUUAUAUCAUUUAGUUUCAAUAUUUGUCUUAUAUUGGUUUUUAAAAUUUAAAAAAAAAAUGCUAUUUUAAUUGUUUUAUAUCCAUAUUUAAUUCAUUUAAUUGUUUUUUAUAUGAAUAGUGUCUUAUAUGGUAAAAGUUGUAGUUUUCAAAUUCAUAAUCUACGUUUUGUGUAGAUCACUGAGGGUAUAGAUUCAAACCAAAUUUGGUUGAAUAACUAUUUACCAAUUGGUUCAAAUGAAAAUUUGAGAGAUAGUUUUUUUUUUUUUUUUUGUUUGAAUAACUAUUCACCAAUGGGUUCAAGAGUUGUUUUCACCAACCAAUCAUAGUUUUCUAGGCAUUCACGGAGUCAGCUCGCACAAAUGCGUGCCUGCUUUCAUAUUUUUUGAUACAAAUACUUCACUAUUUUGUGGAACACUCCUCUCAUUUAUUUUAGUUUACAAAUUUAUCUCUUCAUCCUUGAUCCCGCUUUCCUGCCCCCUCCACUAUACAGUAGGAUCCACUCAUUCGUGAACUGAUCGCAUUCCAUUUUGUGAGGUGGAUUUUCAUUUACACCACACGAUCAUUGUUUUCCGUGCAGUUACCAUGUGGAUGUUUCUUAGCCAUUUGCUUUUCCUUUUCCUUUUCGCAUCUCUUUUCUCAAUAUAUAAACAUACUUCAAAAAUUUUCAUAUGUUAAUCUUUUAUGUUCGUUAGUGUAAAAUUAUAUUACUUAAGCUUGAUUGAGUUAGAUUGAAUCAAGUUUGAGUAAGUUAAAACUAGAUUGAGAUUAAGCCCAAAUGCAAGUUCUAAAAGCUCUAGAAAUGCAUUAAUGUAGUUUAAUUUAUCUCGUUCAUAAAAGUUUAAGUAUUGCAUUAUUCAAUUUUGAUUGGCUCGUUUAUACCCCUAUUGAGUAAUAUACAAUACUUUUGUUUUGUUUAGACUUACUUUGCUUUAAUUUUUUAAAUUUUAUCUUGUUUGAAUUUAUCUGUCCUGCUUCUGUUAUAUUUGCAAAUUGAAAUAUGUUCACUCUCUAUUUUUCUUCCCCCUCCCCAAAAACUCACCCCAUUUUCAAGCCAUUAAUUCAUAAUCUCGAUAUUUUUUAAUAUACAACAAUUUUGCAUCCUAUUAAAUAUUAAUAGGAGCAGUGCAAAAUAUAACACUUUUUAGGAGCCAUUUAAUUCAAAUUCCACAAUUACUAUCGCUGUCGAUAUCAUAGGGAGGCAGUGUGUUUGUUAAUAUGGAAUGGAUUUUACGAUUUAUUACUUUUCUUUUUCAUUAUUUCUUUUUUUUUUUCCAUUUUUUGAAACCAACCCAAAUGGUAUCAUUUUGUUUUCUUAUUUUUACAUUUAAGGAGAUUAAGAUGAGUAUUUUUAUCUUUAAGGAGAAUAAAAUUGAUAAUUAAGAUGAUUGUCCAGUGAGAGAUGGUUAAUCAAAAAACCCAUAGAAGAGGCCUAUCAUUCACAUUGAUUUAUUCUCAUCGGCCAGAAGCAAACAUCGUGUAAGGGUAUAAUUGAAUUUGAAACCCAACUAGGGGUUGAAGCCCAUCGUAAUUUUCUCCCCCUGUAUUUUCCAGACUUCAAAAGUAAACUGACGAAGAUAUGCCUGUUCACAUUUCAUAAACGGGUCUAACCCUUUCUUUGUGAUCAUAUUACUACAUGCCGAGAUCGUGUUAAUAUCACUGUGUCUUCCAUCAAGAAAUAAUACAAUUACUAUGUCAUUUAGCAACAUUUUGUUUUGUAUUUUCAAGAAACAUAAAAUUGCAGUAUAUUAGACCUGAACAGCGUUUUGGACAGUUCUGAAGUCGCAAUAUAACAAGAUUGACCUAAUACAACAGGCAGACAAAUCAAAGCAAACCACAUACGAACUAGUGACAGUCUGAAAUGAAAUGAAAAAAUUGGGAUGUCCGAAGCUCAGAAAUUCUAAUCUUCAGAUACCAUCUGCAGUCAGUAUGAAAGAGAAGUCCUAAUGCCCCUCAACAAGGGGGUGUCAAGAUCAAGAUACACGGGCAGAAGUUCAAAAGAAAGAAAGACGGGUAAAAAAAAGGAAAGGACAAGAAAGUUGCGGAAAACAAAUAGAAGUCCUAAUGCCUCCCAGCAAAAGGGUGUCAGCAGAAAACUUGACAGAGAUAAGAUAGAAAUGCACGCAGGCAAAGUACAAGAACAAACACAAAUUAUAACAUCCUGUCAUGAUGACUACAUCUAUCAGCGACCAGGCAAUGUUUACUGCUGUUUUUCAUGCUUAUCCAUUUUAACUCCACAAUGGUUGCAAAUCACAAACAAAGAUCCCAACCUAUCCUGUACUCCCCAUAUACAUGAUCCCCAAUCUAAAAAUUGCAAGUAUAAUGUAUUGACAGCAUGAACCACCAACAAAGGCAGUCAUUUCACGCAUCAACAGCAGAAUUCCAUC